RNAcentral lists this long non-coding RNA (50440 nucleotides) under Populus tremula. RNAcentral describes it as "long non-coding RNA (PTRE_LNC003251)". Lineage: Eukaryota; Viridiplantae; Streptophyta; Magnoliopsida; Malpighiales; Salicaceae. The record is from RNAcentral.
CAUGGGAGCUAUGGAAAGCAGGUAGCCCAUUUGAGAUGGUGGAUCCAAUAGUAAGAGAAUCUUGCUCUAAAGACCAAGUCUUGAGAUGCAUUCAUGUGGGCUUGCUAUGUGUAGAAGACAAUGCAGUGGAUAGGCCGAUUAUGUCAGAUGUUAUAUCAAUGCUGACAAGCGAAGCACAAUUACCACUUCCCAAACAGCCUGCAUUUUCCAAUGCAAGAAGUAUAGUGGAAGAAAAGAGCCUCAGCAAGCCAGCAGAGAUUGGUUCCAUAAAUAAUGUAUCUCUAUCAACCAUGGAUGCGAGAUAGAGGUUAAUUAGAGCGUUACAUGGUUUAUCUCCUCACAUUUUGUAUGUCAUUCUCCAUCAGUAUUUUGCUUUCUCAAUGCUUAGUCUUUUUUGGUGCUCUCAAAAUUUCAAAUUUCAUUCGGAAUAUGCAUAGAAGUUUUUAACAAGGUUGUAUUUUAUAUUAUAUUUAGCAUUAUUUGUUAUGAUAUCAAAUAAAAUAAUGAAGAGAAUUAGCUUUCAUAUAUAUAUAUAUAUAUAUAUAUAUAUGAUAAUGUACAGAAUCCUAAAUAGAAGGUUAUUUAUAUGGUUAUUGGAUUGUUUAAUUAUAUAAGUAUAUAAGUUUUUUUAUUUACAUUUAGGAGUUGUUUUUAGUGUGAAAAACAUGUUAAAGAAUUUUGUAUAUUCAGUUUUUUUUUUAAUUAUGUUUUGAUGUUUAGGAUUAGAUGCAUAGAUGCUUGUCCUUUUCCUGUUCUCCUCAGUUUCUCUUUCUUUUUUGUGUCUCUGUCCACUCUUCUACGUUCAAGAAAAAGAUAAUGGUGGUAAAAGCACGAGGGUUUGCUGCUGCUUGAUGAACUAAAAUUUUCCCCUGGUUCUGUUUCUCUCCGUCUCUCUCCCCUGUUUUUUUAGUUUUUCUCCCUCCUUCCUGUCUUCUUCUUCCUCUCCUCAGUUCUGCUCUUUUUCCCCCUUGGUGCCGGUUCUCCUUUUCUGGUUUUUAUAACCAGAGAAUGCCAUACGGUCGUAUGGAUUUUAAUGCAUGGCAUUCGUUUCUUUCUUUCUUUUAUUUGGGUGAAGAAGAUGAACAGUGUUUAUGGCCAUUUGCGUUUCGGUCAUUAAUGUUUUGAAAUUUUUAUAAUUAUGCCCCUGGAUAAACUUUAAUUGGACCCCUACAUUUCAGCAACUUUUACAAAACAGUCCCUAGAUUUUAAUUUCUUGCAAAUUUGACCAGAAUCAACCCUAUACUUUGAUAAUUUUCAAUUAAACCCCUGACUUAAUUAAUUAAAUUAAUUUCAAACUCAAUUAAGUCUCAAAACUUAUCAAUUAUCCAAUUGAACCCUUGAUUUGAUUAAUUAAAUUAAUUCCAAAGUUUAAUUAAACCUCAAAACUUCCAAUCAUGUUGCCCUUAACCCAAAUUUUAAAUUAUUCUUCUUUUAUUUCAUUUUUUAUUAUUUUUUUCAUCAUCAUUUUUCAUCAUCAUUUUUUUCCAGUAAAUAAUAAUAAUAAAAAUAAAAAGGUCAAAAAUUGGGUUAUGACAACUACGAUGAGAUGUUAUUUUUAUAGAUAUAAUUACCAACGGUAUUAACUCGUCAGUAAAUCUGUCUAUAAUAUUUAACUUAUGACCUGGUGAGCGACUAUCCUCUUCCCCUUCCCUAUUUCUUCUUCUUCCUCCAUUUUUCUCUACAAUAAACAACACCCUCCCUAAUUUUAUCACAAAUCAACCUCCCGCUACAAAUUCAGUCACCCCAACACUUAGUUUGUCAGCAUCCUUGUUCUUAUUUAAAUUUUAUUGAGGAUUUUCCAUUUCAAGUAAGAAAAACUACCCCUUUUUUAUUUGAACUCAAUUUUAAAAUGUUAUUUUUUAUUGCAUAUUUUUAUAGUAUAAGUAUUUUGUUUGGGUGUUUACUUGUUUUAUAGCUUUUUUUGUAUAGAAAUUUAUUGUAUGAAUGUAUGAUUUGUACAUGUUAAUAUUUGUUUGAGAUUUUGUAAAAUCGUAUUUGUUUGUAAAUUGAUGAAAUUUAUUUCGAAUUUGUAACUUAGGUGUUUUGUAAUCAAAUAAAUAAUGGCUUAUUUAAUAGGUCCAUUUUAUAUUUUGUCUAUUUUAAAUUUAUUGUUGAGUUAAAUUUUUUGGUUAAUGUAUAGAAAUUGGAGUUUAUGUAGAUAAUUGAUAAUGAAUUAAGAGUACUAUUAAAAUAUAUUGAAUAAAUUUGAGUUAAACCAACAUUUGUAAAUUUAGUUAGUUUAUAUAAUUAAUUAAUAUAUGUUGUCAUCAAUAUUCUAUAUAGGUUUGAUAUAAGUAAUGGAUGAUCAUUCAUGGAUGUAUCGAGGUUUACCCAAGGGUUGUACAGGAUAAAUUAUUGUAAUGAGAUUCAAAGUUUUAUUAAUUACAUACUAUCUAAUUCAAUAAAUAUUAGUGGAGACGGUAUUAGAAUAAAACAUUUCUCAAUUCAGAUGUUAUAACAAUGCAUCCUCUACAAAAGGGUUCAUGGAUAAAUAUAUGUGUUGUUUUACACGCAUAGAAUCAUAUGUUCCUCACAAGAUCAUGAUUGAAAUGAUAGUUAAAUAAACUUUUAGUUCUAGCAAUGUACAUGGAGUUAUAAAUGACAAUUAUAAUUCUUAUAGGAAUAUGAUUAUGGAUGUGAUAAGAAUGAAUCAGAGUUAUACCGAUAAAUUUUCAAUCAUAGAUGAAGAAUCUAAUAUAGACGUGCAUGUUUUUUUAUCUUUUAAAAGAUUAUGAUGAACCAUAAUGAGAUGGUUAAACAAAUCGUAGUAUAUUAUUGGUUUUUGCACAUGUAUUCACCAUUAAGUCUGAUCAUGGGUUAAGUGAGGCCAAUUAUGAUAGAGCUUUGGAACUGUUCACUUCUCAAUUUCAUUAUUCAUGUUGUCCAUUACGUAUGGGAUCAUCGACGGUGGAUGUCCGUCGGUAUUUUCCUGAGCACUGUUAAUUAGUAUUAUUUUCAUAUGGAAUCACUGAUAGACUGAAAAGUCAUUGGUAAUAUUUAGGGGGUUCCUGAGAAUUUUUUAUUAAAUUGAAAAUUCCAAUUAGACGUCUCUUAGAAAUUGUAUGAAUGUUGUUAGAAUUGUUUUAAAGUUUUUUUUAAAUGAUUUUAUGAAUGUUGUUCGAGUUUUUUUUUUUAAAAAAAACAUUUAUGUUCUUUAAUGAUUAAAUAAUAUAUGGCCCUUUUUUAGUUUAUUUUUUUAAUUUAAAUGUUGGAAUGAACAAUUGAAAAUUUUUUAAUUCUUUCUUGAUUUUGUUUUGGGAGAGGGUUGAAAAUAUAAAUUCCAUAAUCUAGGAUUUGUGUAAUUUAUAUAGAAAUGGUAGUUGACUAACCCUUUGGUUGUUUUGGUAUGGGAAAUGGUGUAAUAGGAAGUAAAUGGAAAGAGAUUGAAAUCAAUUAUGGAAAUUAAACCUUAAAUUGAUCGGCCAUGGGUAGAAAUCUGAGGGUUUUAGGAAAUUUGUUUAAAUUAUGUAGAUUUUGAUGUUUAAAUGACGUUAGGAAUGUUUAAAAUUAAUUUUAAAUGUAGCAAUAUGGAUUUCAAAGAAUUGUUAUUGUUGUUGUAUUGAUGGAAAUAUGAAAAAUUACUAAAUUGUACUAAGUUUGGUGUUUUAAUGUAUUUGGUUGUAUGGAAAUGUGGAUUAGAAAAUGAUAUACUUGAAUGUAAAUUGGUAGCAUAGAAAUGGUGAUCAAUUUAAUUCUAUAUGCUUAGAGUAAUUGAAUUAUUGUAUGUUUGAGUUUUUGUUGAUAUAUUUUUGGGAGGAAUAGAGAACUAUAAGAUUAUUUGUUUGGAUGUGAAUUGGUAAUUUAGAACUGAAAAUGACAUGUUGAAAUGGUAUGGAUUAGGGUUUUUAUUACACAAAACCUAGGAUUUUAUUUUAUUUUUUCAAUAAAAUAAAGAAGGGGAAGAAGUGUUCAAUCCUUAAAAUGAACUUGCUACCAUAUAAUUCAAUUUGAUUGGCAUAGAUUGAAAUAUAAUAAAUUAUGGUUUAUGGCAAUCCAUUCAAAUUGUUGUGUGUUCACUUCUUUAACAAUUUUGGGUAGUCUCUGAUAUAAAGAAUGUGCUAUUGAUUUUUUUUAUAAAAAAAAUAGGAAUGGUUUAUGGUACCUUAAUUCUUUAAGUUGUGUACAUGCCUAGGAGAAAAUCAAUAGUACGACAUAUGGAAAGGAUCGCUACUAGUUAUUAUAGUUGCGAUUCUGAUGACCAUAAGUCAUUAGGUGCCGAUCAGGAAUAAACACCUAAAACACAAAUAUCCACUCAUGACGCGGGCUCGUUGAGUAUAAAGUCGUCACGUCAAGGCGGGGUUCCUUCAUAACAAAAUCCAUUUACCCAGAAAUACCAGGCUUAGUGGAACAUCAACUUUUAAUGUAAGUUUAUUUUCCUUUCUCAGCGACAUGUUAAUAAGUUUUGAAAAAAAUAUAAUUAAUGAAUGCAAUUUCACGUUUACAAAUAUUAAGACUGCCAGAAUUAUAAUAUUGACAAUGAAAUCAUCGAUGAAAUUAUAUGAAAGAAAAGAGCUUUCAGGCUGGAAGGACAUGAAAGUGUGGAAGGAUUUUAGACAACUGUAUGUCUUAGAUGGUAUAUGGACAAAUUAUAUUUAGCACGUGAUGUUUGAGUGUUUCGUGUGACGAUUACAGUCCAAUGUAGAGAACCAUAAACGAUGCGUUCAUAGUUUUAUUACAACACACAUCAGCGGUUAUGUUUGGUUCAUUUCACAUGCAAAGCGGUUGAUAUGAUUCUUUUUUAUUAGAUCAAUUUUUAAUUUUUUUAUUAAUUUUUUUAACUAACAAUAGUUUUCUCUUGCAGGCUAAGGUUUUUGGAUGCGAGUCAUGCCCGAUGAAACUUUUUGUGAAAACACAUGUGUGGAUUAUUGACCAUAAAAAAAGGGUGCAAGAACUCAUGGAUAGCCAAGCUCAACACUUUGUGGUAUGUUGUUGCGAUGUCAUGGUCGCACAAAUUAAUUACCCUAGCUUAAAACACAACACACAAGAUAGUAUAGAGCAAGCAAGGGGUCGAUCCCACGAGGAAGAUUUAGUUUGGAUUUUUAUGCUAUACAUAAUGCAAUUUUAGGGGGUUUUGAUUUGUGAUAAUCUAAAAUAUAAAAGAAAUUAAACUAGCAAACAAAAAUUAAUAAAAUCAGAAAUUUAUCAAGAAAACAAACCUUGGUGACAUUAGUCGGGCACCCGUUUCAACUUCCCAUUCGUUCUUUCUUUGUUAUUUCUAUUUCUAAUGGUUCGGAGUGUUGAAGCUGGAGACAAAUGCCCCGGCUGAUCAAUGCUUGCAAUUUCUCUGUUUUUCCCCUGUUCACUUUGGUUGCGUUCUUCCUCCCUGUGAUUUUCCUGUUCCUGCUCUCCCUUUAUCGUCUCUUUGUUUUGUCUCCGUCUUCCAUCUUUGGUGUUGGAGAUGGAGAAGGCAGUGAUCCCUUUUCCUCCGUGGCCUUCUCUAGCUUUUAAAAAGCUAGAGGACAGCUUCUGUUCCUUUUAGAAGAAACAGGGACAGAAAAUUUACUCUCCUGUCUUGUUCGUUUCCUUGUCCUUUUCCUGUUCUCCUCAGUUUCUCUUUCUUUUUUGUGUCUCUGUUCACUCUUCUACGUUCAAGAAAAAGAUAAUGGUGGUAAAAGCACGAGGGUUUGCUGCUGCUUGAUGAACUAAAAUUUUCCCCUGGUUCUGUUUCUCUCCGUCUCUCUCCCCUGUUUUUUUAGUUUUUCUCCCUCCUUCCUGUCUUCUUCUUCCUCUCCUCAGUUCUGCUCUUUUUCCCCCUUGGUGCCGGUUCUCCUUUUCUGGUUUUUAUAACCAGAGAAUGCCAUACGGUCGUAUGGAUUUUAAUGCAUGGCAUUCGUUUCUUUCUUUCUUUUAUUUGGGUGAAGAAGAUGAACAGUGUUUAUGGCCAUUUGCGUUUUGGUCAUUAAUGUUUUGAAAUUUUUAUAAUUAUGCCCCUGGAUAAACUUUAAUUGGACCCCUACAUUUCAGCAACUUUUACAAAACAGUCCCUAGAUUUUAAUUUCUUGCAAAUUUGACCAGAAUCAACCCUAUACUUUGAUAAUUUUCAAUUAAACCCCUGACUUAAUUAAUUAAAUUAAUUUCAAGCUCAAUUAAGUCUCAAAACUUAUCAAUUCUCCAAUUAAUCCCUUGAUUUGAUUAAUUAAAUUAAUUCCAAAGUUUAAUUAAACCUCAAAACUUCCAACCCAAAUUUUAAAUUAUUCUUCAUUUAUUUCAUUUUUUUUGUUGUUUUUUUCAUCAUCAUUUUUCAUCAUCUUUUUUUUUUCAAUAAAUAAUAAAAACAAAAGUAAAAAAUUGGGUUAUGACAACUAUGAUGAGAUGUUAUUUUUACAGAUAUAAUUAUCAACGGUAUUAACCCGUCAGUAAAUCUGUCUAUAAUAUUUAACUUAUGACCUAGUGAGCGACCAUCCUCUUCCCCUCCCCUAUUUCUUCUUCUUCCUCCAUUUUUCUCUACAAUAAACAACACCUCCCUAAUUUUAUCACAAAUCAACCUCCCGCUACAAAUUCGGUUACCCCAACACUCAGUUUGUCAGCAUCUUUUUUCUUAUUUAAAUUUUAUUGAGGAUUUUUCAUUUUAAGUAAGAAAAACUACCCCUUUUUUAUUUGAACUCAAUUUUAAAAUGUUAAUUUUUAUUACAUAUUUUUGUAGUAUAAGUAUUUUAUUUGGGUGUUUACUUGUUUUAUAGCUUUUUUUGUAUAGAAAUUUAUUGUAUGAAUGUAUGAUUUGUACAUGUUAAUAUUUGUUUGAGAUUUUGUAAAAUUGUAUUUGUUUGUAAAUUGAUGAAAUUUAUUUCGAAUUUGUGACUUAAGUGUUUUGUGAUGAAAUAAAUAAUGGCUUAUUUAAUAGGUCCAUUUUAUAUUUUGUCUCUUUUAAAUUUAUUGUUGAGUUAAAUUUUUUAUUUAAUGUAUAGAAAUUGGAGUUUAUGUAGAUAAUUGAUGAUGAAUUAAGAGUACUAUUAAAAUAUAUUGAACAAAUUUGAGUUAAACCAACAUUUGUAAAUUUAUUUAGUUUAUAUAAUUAAUUAAUAUAUAUUAUCAUCAAUGUUCUAUAUACGUUUGAUAUAAGUAAUGUAUGAUUAUUCAUGGAUGUAUCGAGGUUCACCUAAAGGUUGUAUAGGAUAAAUUAUUGUAAUGAGAUUCAAAGUUUUAUUAAUUACAUACUAUCUAAUUCAACAAAUAUUAGUGGAGACGGUAUUAGAAUAAAAAAUUUCUCAAUUCAGAUGUUAUAACAAUAUUAUACAAAAGGGUUCAUUGAUAAAUAUGUGUUGUUUUACACGCAGAGAAUCAUAUGUUCCUCACAAGAUCAUGAUUGAAAUGAUAGUUAAAUAAACCUCUAGUUCUAGCAAUGUACAUGGAGUUAUAGAUGACAAUCAUAAUUUUAUAGGAAUAUGGUUAUGGAUGUGAUAAGAAUGAAUCAGAGUUAUACCGAUAAAUUUUCAAUCAUAGAUAAAGAAUCUAAUAUAGAUUCAUGUUUUUUUUUUAUCUUUUAAAAGAUUAUGAUGAACCAUAAUGAGACGGUUAAACAAAUCAUAGUAUAUUAUUGGUUGUUGCACAAGUAUUCACCAUCAAGUUUGAUCAUGGGUUAAGUGAGGCCAAUUAUGAUAGAGCUUUAGAACUGUUCACUUCUCAAUUUCAUUAUUCAUGUUGUCCAUUAUGUAUGGGAUCAUCGACGGUUGAUGUCCGUCGGUAUUUUCCUGAGCACUAUUAAUUACUAUUAUUUUCAUAUGGAAUCACUAAUAGACUUAAAAGUCAUUGGUAAUAUUUAGGGGGUUCCUGAGAAUUUUUUAUUAAAUUGAAAAAUCCAAUUAGACGUCUCUUAGAAAUUGUAUGAAUGUUGUUAGAAUUGUUUUAAUUUUUUUUUGUUUUUUAAUGAUUUUAUGAAUGUUAGAGUUUUUUUUUAUAAAAAAAUUUGUUCUUUAAUGAUUAAAUAAUAUAUGCCCUUUUUUAGUUUUUUUUUUAAUUUAAAUGUUGGAAUGAACAAUUGAAUUUUUUUAAAAUUCUUUCUUGAUUUUGUUUUGGGAGAGGGUUGAAAAUAUAAAUUCCAUAAUCUAGGAUUUGUGUAAUUUAUAUAGAAAUGGUAGUUGACUAACCCUUUGGUUGUUUUGGUAUGGGAAAUGGUGUAAUAGGAAGUAAAUGGAAAGAAAUUGAAAUCAAUUAUGGAAAUUAAGCCUUAAAUUGAUCGGCCAUGGGUAGAAAUAUGAGGGUUUUAGGAAAUUUGUUUAAAUUAUGUAGAUUUUGAUGUUUAAAUGACGUUAGGAAUGUUUAAAAUUAAUUUUAAAUGUAGCAAUAUGGAUUUUAAAGAGUUGUUAUUGUUGUUGUAUUGAUGGAAAUAUGAAAAAUUACUAAAUUGUAUUAAGUUUGGUGUUUUAAUGUAUUUGGUUGUAUGGAAAUGUGGAUUAGAAAAUGAUAUACUUGAAUGUAAAUUGGUAGCAUAGAAAUGGUGAAUUUAAUUAUAUAUGCUUAGAUUAAUUGAGUUAUUGUAUGUUUGAGUUUUUGCUGAUAUAUUUUAGAACUAUAAGAUUAUAUGUUUGGAUGUGAAUUGGUAAUUUAGAACUAAAAAUGACAUGUUGAAAUGGUAUGGAUUAGGAUUUUUAUUACACAAAACCUAGGAUUUUAUUUUAUUUUUUCAAGAAUAUAAAGAAGGGGAAGAAGUGUUCAAUCCUUAAAGUGAACUUGCUACCAUAUAUUUCAAUUUGAUUGGCAUAGAUUGAAAUAAAAUAAAUUAUGGUUUAUGGCAAUCCAUUCAAAUUGUUAUGUAUUCACUUCUUUAACAAUUUUGGGUAGUCUCUGAUAUAAAGAAUGUGUUGUUGAUCUUUUUUAUAAAAAAAAUAGGAAUGUUUAUAGUACCUUAAUUCUUUAAGUUGUGUACAUGUCUAGGAGAAAAUCAAUAGUACGACAUAUGGAAAAGAUCGCUACUAGUUAUUCUAGUUGCGAUUCUGAUGACCAUAAGUCAUUAGGUGCCGAUCAGGAAUAAGCACCUAAAACACAAAUAUCCACUCAUGAUGCGGGCUCGUUGAGUACAAAGUCGUCACGUCAAGGCGGGGUUCCUUCAUAACGGAAUCCAUUUACCCAGAAAUACCAGGCUUAGUGGAAGAUCAACUUUUAAUGUAAGUUUGUUUUCCUUUCUCAGCGACAUGUUAAUAAUUUUUUAAAAAAUAUAUAAUUAAUGAAUGCAAUUUCAAGUUUACAAAUAUUGAGACUACCAAAAUUAUAAUAUUGACGAUGAAAUCAUCGAUGAAAAUAUAUGAAAGAAAAGAGCUUUCAUGCUGGAAGGACGUGAAAGUGUGGAAGGAUUUUAGACAACUGUACGUCUUAGAUGGUAUAUGGACAUAUUAUAUUUAGCACGUGAUGUUUGAGUGUUUUGUGUGACAUUUACAGUCCAAUGUAGAGAACCAUAACCGAUGUGUUCAUAGUUCUGUUACCACGCAAAUCAGCAGUUAUGUUUUGUUCAUUUCGCAUGCGAAGCGGUUGAUAUGAUUCUUUUUUAUUAGAUCAAUUUUUUAAUUUUUUUUAUUAAUUUUUUAAACUAACAAUAGUUUUCUCUUACAAGCUAAGGUUUUUGGAUGCGAGUCAAGCCCGAUGAAGCUUUUUGUGAAAAUGCAUGUGUGGAUUAAUGACCAUAAAAAAAGGGUGCAAGAACUCAUGGAUAGCCAAGCUCAACACUUUGUGGUAUGUUAGUUUUCAACCAUUAUUUUCUUAAGUUAUUAUUUUUUGAAUUUGUUGACUUUUUUAGGAUACAUAUAACAUCAGGUUCAAGGAGAGAUAUGAAGACGAUCCUUCAACCUAUCAGGAUCUUGAUCCAGAUUUGUUGUUGGAGGCAUGAUUAUUCGGUGGACCCAAUAGAAAUUAGGUGUAUAAUCCAUCUAACACUACAGCUGAGAACUUGUGAAUAACUCGCAAUAUUUCAACCAUUGAAUGCUUGCAAUAAGUUCUAAGCACUCAAACUCAAAAAUUUGAAGUAAUUUUAGACCAACAAGUUCAAGCUUGGACAACACAUCUUAGUAUUGCAAAUGACAUUGUCACUCUAUACUUACUGAUAAAAUUACAUAUUGUUGUUAUGUCGGUGAUAUAUCAUAUUCACCAAUAGAAAUAGUGUUAAUAAAUCCAUAUGUGGUUUUAUAAAUAUCAAAAUAUAAAUAAUGAUAAAAACAUUUAUUGUUAAAUCUAAAAACUCUAGUAGUGUUACAUGUAUUUUAUUUUGCUAUAAUAUUGUUAAUUUGUUUCAAGAAGCUUAUCAAACAGCUGGUGGUGAUACUAAUAAGUAUUUUCAAGCAUUCAAUUCAAAUAUUGUAAUUAAAUUAAGAUUUAUCAUGCAAUUCGUCUCAUUGUAAUCACAAGUGAUAGAUUUAGAUGAUUAAGAAUGUUGCUCCUAUGUAGUUAGAGCUUGAUACUAGUAUUCAAAUAAAUUUAUUUUUUAAAAUAUAUUAAUUAAUAUAAGAAGACUGGGUUGUUGAAAUAUGAAAUAAAAAAACUAAAAAAAAAAAAACUCAAAACUAUUCCAAUGAAUAAUAAUUUGUUAGUAUGGCUAGUGUUUUGUUAAUUUUAAUGGUUAAGAAUGUUUUCUCCUAUGAAGAUAGGUACUAGUAUUUAGAUAAAUUUAUUCUCUUAAAUAUAUUAAUUAAUAUGAGAAAGUGUUUUUAAAAUUAUUUUAAAAGGGGUUUAAUCUCAAUUGAUUUGUAAGUUAAUUUAAAUAUCUUUUUCAUUGUAACAAACAAAUAUAGAGAUAUUUGAUUAUUGUAUACGAGAAGAUUAUCUAUAUUAUCCUAUGUACUUGAUUAGUUUUGAAAUAUUAAUGCCCCUUCAAGUUGUGAAGAAAGGUAAUUCCUUAUUUUAAUUAUAUAAAAAAAAACAAAUCAAAGUUCGAUUCUGGAACCCAAUUAACAAUACGAUUAAAAGAGCCUAAGAGCAUGAUUAAUUUAUACGGCAUGGUGAUGGGAUUUCUUCAAGGUUAGGAGGUUGAUAGAUGAACGCAAGAAUUGUCUAGAAUCGAACUUUGAAUAUUUUUUAUAUUUUUUUUAUAAAACUUUUCUUAUGCAAGAAGAAGAAUAAGCCAAUAGUUGUAUAAAAUUUGAAAAGCAUAACCACAUGUUGUUUUUUAAAGGAUAUUUGGGAGUAUGAUUGUUAUUACUUUUCAAAUAACUUUUCAUGCUAAAAUAUAUUAAAAUAAUUUUUUUUUAUUUUUAAAAAAUUAUUUUUGAGAUCAGUACGUUAAAACAAUUUAAAACAUACAAAAACAAAUUAAAUUUUUAUAUAAAAAAAAAUUAAAAUUAAAUUUUUUUAGAAACACGAUUGCUAAUUAGAUUUAGUUUUAGGAUUUGAACAUAAAAUAAAUUAAGAGAUGCUUCGGAUAAUACUUGUUACUUUUUACCUCUUAACUUUAUUAAUAAAUAUAUUUUUUAAGCAUGCACUAGCUAGCUAGACCCGUUCAUCAGUUGAUUGAGAUUGUUUCUAAGGCAAAUGGAUACUGCCUGUACGGUCACUUUCAAGCUCCAACAAAUCUAGAAAGCUACUGGGAAAUAGCUUUGCCUUAGUCAUUGUCUGUUUUCUGAUGCUGUUUAAUUGUUAUUUUUUUUAGUGAUCUUAGAUUAUAUUAAAAAUAAAUUUUAAAAAAAUAAAAAAUAUAUUAUUUUAAUAUAUUUCAAAAUAAAAAAAAAUUGAAACGCAAUCUUUAUCAUACUCUCUUAUAAGCAAUAAUUCUUCUUUUUUUACCCCAUAUUAUAUUUUUAAAAUAAUUUGAAACUUGGUUUUUGUCAAAAAAAAAAUCAAUUUAAUCUAAUAGCUUAAAUUGUUAUGUGAGGCUUCAAGAUAUGAUUUAUAUAAUUUGUUUUAAACUUGAAACUUGUAUAAACACACAAUACCUUGUACUUAUUAUUUUUUUUAUAUAAAAUAAAAUAAGAGUGGUGAGAUUUGAAAUCGUGAUCACUUAAUUAACAAGGCCGGCCUUAAUACUAUGUCAAAAAAUCAAUUCAACUCAAUAACUUUAAUUAUUAUAUGAAAUCCCAAGAUAUAAUUUAUAUAAUUCUCUAACAAUAUCAACCUCAUUUUUAAAAAAAAAAAAUUUUCUACGCAACUCACUACUUGUUUGGGAUUGUGGUAUCGAAUGUGAUUCAAAAUAUUUUUCACUUAGAAAUGUAUCAAAAUAAUAUUUUUUAAAAAAUUAUUUUUAAAAUCUAUAUAUUAAAAUAAUCUAAAUAUAUAUAAAAAUAAUUUUUUAUAAAAAUAUAAAAUUUAAAACACACGAUGCAAACCGUGUUACCUGUGGACAAGGGACACAGGUCUUAAAAGAGUAACCUUUUAAAGAGGGUAAUGCAAUGUCCUCUAGUGAUGGGGAUUCUUUCUUUGUGGACAAAAGGGGCGGUGCCAUACAGCCAAAGAUUUGAUCAAUAUGGAUAAUGACAUUUGCAGCAAUUGCAUUCUUUCAUUUAUUUUUAUUUGAGUGAUUGUACUAAUUUUUUAAAUUUAAAUAUUUAUAUUUAUCAAAAUAUUCAUGUGGUUGUUAAUUUUUCGUUAAGUGGAUUGAAGUUAAUAUUUUUUUAUUCUUUUUUAGGGAUAAUGACAUUUGAGUAAUUGCAUUCUCUCAUUUGUUUUUAUUUGAGUAUUUAUACUGAAUUGUUUCUCUUUAAAUAUUUAUACUUAUAAAAUUUGAUGCAUCAAGUAGUUUUAUUAGUUUUGUUAUUGAAAUGUUAAAGUGGUAGUUAACUUUUCAUUAAUGGAUUCAGAUUAAUAUUAUUUUAAUAUAAAUUUUAAUAUAAUUAAUUUUUUAUUCUAAAAAUGCCCUUAACCUGUACAAGAAUAUGAUUUUACUUAUUAAAAAAAAAACAAUUUCUCAAGAAUUUAAUGGUUGAGUAAUUUUGAUUUUUUAUUUUAUUUCUUAAGAUAUUUUGAGAAUUUGUUUUAAAAAACCUUUAAUCUAGGCCACCGAUUUGAAAAAUCCAGACUUGCCAAAAUCCAGACUUUAUAUCAAAUUUGAAAAAUAAAAAUGUAGAAUGCUGAUUUGCAAUAAAUCUUUUUUAUUUGGAAUAGGAUAGCUAAUCUAUUUUAAAGCAUUAAGACUUUGUUUGUUUUUGCGUUUUCAAAGUGUUUUUGACAAAAAAAAAUUUAAUUUUUUUCUUUACUUCAAAUUAAUAAUUCUUUUUAUGUUUUAAGAUCAUUUUGAUGUGGUGAUGUCAAAAAUAUUUUUUAAAAAAUAAAAAAUAUUAUUUUGAUGUAUUUCCGAGUGAAAAAUACUUUGAAAAUCAACAAAUUGAUUACAAAAAUAACAUAGACACUUGAUUGAUCAAAUUUCACAAGUAUAAUUACUGAAAUAACAAAAAAAAGAGUAUGAGUGUUUUGAAGAGAUCAUUACAAAUUUCAUAUUUAAACUUUUUUAUUUUUUCUAUUCAAGUAUUCUAACUUUUAUUUUCAGUAUUUGAAUUUGUGAAUUUUCAAAUUUUUUCUAUGCAACUAUUUUUAUUAGAUUCUAUUAAUUACAUGUUGACAUGGUUGUUAAAUUGACAUGUCAUCAUGUUAAAUUUAAACGUCAUCAUGCUGACUUGGCUGUUAAACUGCAGAAACAUUUCACUUUAUUUCUCAAGUGUCUAUACACAUUUGAACUGUUUUUCUAUUUAAAUGUACACAUUUCUUUUAUCUAUUUGAAUGUUUGUACUUUUAAAAGAGUUAUCAAUUGAGUGCAUUUAAUUUUAUGCAGUCCAUAUUCCACUAAGAAAAUAAAACACUACAACAUUUCACAGUUUUACCGACGGACAUAUUCCGUCGGUGUAUGAUAGAACGGUCAUCGGUAAAUUAUUUACCGACUAUAUUACCGACGGAAUACGCCCGUCGGAAUACCUUUUGUCGGUAAUUCCACAUUCCGUCGCUAUAUCGGUCGGAAAUACAAAAAAAACAUUCACCGACGAACCGUGCGCGUCAAAAAAAAAAGUUUCCCGCUUGAAAUAUACCGACGGAAUAUUUUCUGUCAGUGUUAUGUAAAUACCGACGGAUUAAAUUCGUCGGUAAAAGUGUCGGUGAUGUUUCAUACCGACCGAAUAUUUCCGUCUGUAAAUUCGUCGGUAAGUUAUACCGACGGAUUAUGUCCGUCGAUGAAUAUGUCGGUGAUAGGAUGAAAUACCGACAGAAUAUGUCCGUCUGAAUAUUCGUCGGUGAUGGUGGCAGACACUGUCCAAUGCCGACGGAGUUAUUCCGUCGGUAAAUCCCUGUGUAAUUUUUUUUUAAUUUUUUAGAAAAAAUAAUUUAAAUUAAUGAUAAUACAAACCAAUUAUGCAAAUAAAAUUUAUAUUAAGCAACAAAAACUCAAAGUUAAAUAAUAUUCAUUACAAAAUGAAUGUGUUUCAAAAAAACAUUAAACGAAAUUUUAAAUAUAAAUAAUGUUUAUUAAAAAUUAAUAUAAAGGUGGAGGAGGAGGAGGAGGAGGAGGCUGGGGGUUAGGCGGCCAAAAAAGAUUAGGCGCACAUGUUCCACCUUGUGUCAUGUUCAUGAUCAUUUGGCGAAGCUCUUCAUAGGCCGCUCUUUGUUGUUCAGACUCUGCUCUGUGUUGUUCGUUCACCAAUCUUUGCUAUUCUUUUAGUUGUGUGUACACCUCUAAUAGUGUAAUAUUUUGAGUUUAAAAUUGGAAAAUACAAUAAAGCCCUUGGAGGCUUAAAGAGUGAGUAAAUUUGAAUAAGGGGUAUUAUGGUAAUUGGAUAAAUAGUUGAUAAAUAUAAAUAGAAAAAUAAAGAGGGAUCUGAAAAUUUGAAGAACAAACCGUAAGAGAGAAGGGAGGAAGAAGAAGAAGAGAAAAGAAGGGGAAAAGGAAGAGAAGUAGAGGAAAUAAGUUUAAAAAGGUAAGAUUUAUGGUUUGAAGUGUAUAAUAUGUUUAAUUUUGGUUUUGAUAAAUGUUAGGGUUUUGAAGUUUGUAUUUUGAGUUAAUUGAUGAAUUAAUUUGAAGGUUAGGAGUUGAUUAUUGUAGGUAUUUGAUUAAUUAGUUGAUUUUGAGAGAUUGAAUUAAAGGAUAAUGAUUUUGAGUUAUGAUUUUGUUUAAAUGGUGAAAUUGUAUUAGAAAUCAGGGGAUAACAGUAGGUGAUCUGUUGAAAUUCUGGGUUUGAGGUUGAAGAUGACGAAAAUUCAGUUUGGUCCCUCAAUUUGCAAAAAUUGCAGUUUAGUCCCCGAACUUUGGAAAUAUUACAAAUUGGUCCCUGGAGCAUAUUCCGAGAUUCUGAACAGAAUAACAUAUGGAUUAUGGGCAGAAUUACUGUAUAGAUAAGAGAAUUUAACACUUUCAAUUUGGUCCUCCAAUUUGACAAAUUACGAUUUGACCCCUAAAAUGUUGAUAAAAUCACAUUUAGGACCUUGGGGCAUAAUUCAAGAUUCUGGACAAAGAUAAGGACGAAUUAUGGAUAAAUUUCAGUAUGGUUAUGUAUUUACAGUUUGGUCCUCCAAUUUCUCCAAUUUUUGGUAAAAUUACAUUUUGGUCCCUGUUUUGGAAAAUUGUCGUUUUAGUCCAUAAACUUAGGAGAUUAAGCCCAGUUUUAUUUUAUGCAUUGGGAUCUUUUGUUUGAAUUGUUUUUUAGUAUGUUUCAUAUAUUUAUUGUAGGUUCUCCUACCGAUCCUUAAUCGAAUUUUCGGGUCUUUCGUCUGACAUUCCUUUUAGUUCUAUAUUUUCCGGGUGAGUGGAAUAAUCUUUAAUAUUCAUAUAAUAUAAAUAAAUAUGUAUGUUGAUUAUACAAUGAGUACAACUAGUAAAUUUCUUGAAUAUUUAUAUAUGUUGCUUUAUUUUCCGAGUACUCAUUUAUUCUUGAAUUUGCACUCGCAAUCUGUUAAAGUAAAUUCUAUUUGAUAUGAUAUACGUUUCUUUGAUGAUUAUGUGAAUAUCUAUUAUGCCUUGAUAUGGGACUUGUCAGUAACUCCAUGCUAACAGAGAAUAGUUAGCCUGUGUGCACAUAGUAUUUUGUUACCUAGCUGGUGAGAGAGGCAUCAGCCUGUGGCGACUGAUCAUCCCACAGUGGUCACCGACGGGUGUCAUCUGGUCACCUUCGGGUGUCAUCUGGUCACCUUCGGGUGUCAUCUGAUCUCUAACAUGUAAUCCACUACGUUAUGAUAAUAUGUUUAGUAUGAAUAUGUAUAUGUAUAUGUAUAUCAAGAUAAAUAUAGUUAUCUGAAAUAUCUGAAAUGUAUAUUAAAUGUUAUUCCCUCACUGAGUUGGUUGAACUCACCCUCAUUCUUAAUAUUAUUUCAGGUUCUUAGUUUUUGAUAGCAGUUGGAUUUUGUUGAGUGUUUCCGCUUCUUCAGUUCUGGUCGGUAUGCCUUGCUUGUCCGCGAGGUUUUCCUUUCAAGUUUGAUUUGAUGUCUUAGACGCUCCACUGUUACCUUGGUUUAAUUAAAUUUGGACUUUGACAAUGUAAUGAAUAUUAUGAAUUAUUAUUUUUGUUUUAAUAAUUAUCUUUCGGUUUCAUCAGUAUUUGAAUAAUAUGAUAUUUCUGAAUAUUAUGAGCCGCUGCGUAUUUUUGAAUAAAUUGUACUUUUGGUAUGUCCGUUGUGAGGCUUAGCGCAGGUGGGGUGUCCUUUCGGCACCGCUCCUGCGUUGCCGGUCACGGACCCGGGAUUCGGGUCGUGACAAAUAGGUGGUCGCACCUUUGCUGCAAGGCCAUGAACUCCUUAGAUUGGGAGCUUGAUACAGAUUGGGAGCUCCCAACGGUUGAAGCAGUACCGGUCGACCGCAAGUUGGUGGCGGUAGUGUUGGAGAGCCUGUAAACCCGAUUUUUAUCGGGUCCACCUGACGAUCCAGCCUCCAUCCACAAAUCCGGAUCGAAUUCCGGAUGGGUCGAAGGAUCGUCCCCGUAUCUCUCCCUCAACUGAUUAUUUUAGGUCUCCUGAAAAAAAAAAUCAUCAUAUUCAAUUCAAUAAACAUAAUAAUAACUUACAAAAUAAAAUAGUUGAGCAAACAUACCACAAACAGCUCCAUAGGGCUCGGCUCACGUCCAAGAGACAUAGCCUAUAAUGAAAAAAAUUUAUUAACAACAAAUUAAUUGAACGAUAUAUUUCAUUUAAAUUAAUCUUACCAUCCGUUUCGCAUGUGCAGCAAACGGAACGGAGCCGCCGGUGUGCGUUGUCACCGAGCCAUGAAUUGGCCAAUUCCGGUUGCCAGCACCGGACUGUGAGCGUCGAGUGAACCGCUCAGACGUCACGUGCUGAAGAUAGUGUGGCCAUAUAUCUUCCGGGAUGUAUAUCAGUUUGAAAUCCCUCCAAACCGCAACAUCAUUCCAGCCUUCGAACCCCUUAUCCCUCGCUGUUUUUUUUGCCUUUUUCUGGGUGUCAUACCAAAAAUCACGCAACCUAAUUCACGCACGAAAAAAUUACAUUUCGAAACAUAAAUAAUUAUGUAAAAAAAAAGUCGUAUUGUUUUCGAUGUUACCUAAUUGCCGCGUGAUUUUCCCACACCCUCCUCACAACAGUGUCAUGUUCAUCGUCCCAGUUGAAUCGAUGCUGUGUAUAAAUUUUUUUUUUAAAAAAAUGUUAACAAUUUAUUUACAAUUAUAACUAGAAUUUAUUAGAAAUAAGCUGAAAAUUAUAUAUUAACACGAACCUCAAAUCUAUGAAACCAUGCAUUGAUUUGAGGCAUCCAUUCAGGAUGCCUGGAUAUCUGACUCCAUUGAAACAAUGGAAUCUCCAUCGACGCUUUAAACGUCGAUGAUAUUACUCGGGCGGCCUCAAUGUUUGUGAACCUGAAAAGAAAUGAAAUUAAUGAAAUAGUGAUUACUUCAUAAAUUAUGUUUUAAAUUUGUUUUAUAUAUAUAUAUAAAAAACUAAAACUCUUAACAAACUUACAUUGAAAGAUCGUCCUUCCACUGUGCCUCGUACUUGCGGGUAAAUUGAUUCCGCUGCGAAGGCACGCCGCUUCUGCGAUGUGAAAUAUCGCUGGAAGAGGUAGCAUCGGUUGACGGCGCAGGUGGUGUAGGUGCCUCUUCUUGAGAGGCACCUAAGGAAACAUCAACAUCGAUGCUAGACGAACUUGAUUCGAAUGGACGUGAACGACUAGCUCUGGAUUUCAUUAUCCGCAUCUAAACAAUUUUAUAUAAAUAAUUGUAUAAUAAAAUUCAAAAGUUAAAAAAAUUCAGCAGCACCUCCCCUAUACUGGAUACUGCCCAAAUCCACAAACCUGCAAAUAUUAACAAUAGCCACAACCAAUUGACCCAAUUUAUACUAAUUAUUCCAACAUAUUCAACUAUUAAUCAUAAGAUAAAUUCAACGUUAACAAUUACAAUUCACAAAUUAUUCAAUAAUUAUGUCAAUACAACAAAACUAUAAAUUCAAAAUAAAUAGAAACAAUUAAACACAAAUCAUCAAGUUAGAGUAAAAUUAAUAAUUCUUCCAACAUAUUCAUUCAUUAAAUCUAAGAUAAAUUCAACAUUAACAAUAUUAAUUCAACAAAUUAUUAAAUAAUUAUGGCAAUACAACAAUAAAAUAUAUUCAAUAAAAUAAAAAAUAAUUAUAGCCUAACAAUUAAAAUCAAUGGAAACAGUUAAACACAAAUCAUGCAAUAAUAUAAAAAAAAUACUAAUUAUUCCAACAUAUCCAAUUAUUAAUUCUAAGGUAAAUUCAACCUUAACAAUUAUAAUUCAACAAAUUAAUCAAUAAUUAUAUAUGGCAAUACAACAAUAAAUUAUAUUCAAUAAAUUAAAAAAAAUAUAGACUAACAAUUAAAAUCAAUGAAAAUAAUUAAACACAAAUCAUGCAAUAAUAGAGUAAAAUUAAUAAUUAUUCUAACAUAUUCAAUUACUAAUUCUAAGUUAAAUUCAACUUUAACAACAAAUAUUCAACAAAUUAACUAAUAUGUUAUUAUGACAACAAACCAAUAAAAAAUAUUCAAAAAAUUCAAAAAUAAAACCUACAUCAAGAAAAGGAACGAAAUAUACAUACCUUGAUAAUGUGACAAAUUCAAAACUUUAUCUACAUUACAAAAAAAACACCAAAACACCAAAAUAACAAAAUAAAAACAACUAAAAAUAAAUUAAAAGUAAAUAAAAUAAAUUGGAAAAAAACACAUACCUUUUAAUAUGAGGAAGAUUCUGAGGUGCAAAUGGAGGAGAAGAGAAGAAAAGCGGCGCGGGAAGAAGAAGAAAAAAUGAGGCGAAGCGGCGGGGGCUGGAACUUAUAUGGCAGUUUUGCCGACGGAAUCACCGACGAAAUUAAAGCCAGUCGGUAACAGGUCAAACAUUCCGUCGGUAACAGGUCAAAAAUCCAUCGAUAAUUUUUUGAAUUUCGCACUGAAUUUUUAAAAGCCCUCUAUAUUUUUCGAAGUCCGUCGGUGAUUCCGUCGGUAAUCUGACAAGUUCAGAGGCGCUUUAAUUCACACACUUUGGAAAUCGCGCGGUCCGUCGGCAUUUCUGUCGAUAAUAAGUGUGACCGACAAAUUACCGACGGAAAUAUUCCGUCGGUAGUAGCGUCGAAAAAUACGUCAGUGAAUCCGUUGGUGAAAGUGGUAUUUUGUUGUAAUUAUUUUCGAACUCUCUGUGAGAUACCGACGGGCUAGAAUCCAUCGGUGAACCCGUCGGUGAGGUGGCAUUUUGUUGUAAUAUUUUCGAACUCUCUGUGAGAUACCGACGGGCUAGAAUCCGUCGGUGAUUGUGGCAUUUGUUGUAAAUAUUUUCGAACUCUCUGUGAGAUACCGACGGAUUAUCCGUCGUGUAUGUGUCGGUGAUCCGUCGGAAAGUGUUGUCAUUUGCGUUUAUUUGAACUUCCUGCAAAACUUAACUGAUAAACUGUCCAUCACAUAAAACAAUAACCACAUUGCUUAAACAUACACAUCAUCAUAAUCUAAAUUACAUGAGACAAAUGUUUUUACAUAGGGCUUCAUUUUCAUAAUUAGUCGGAAUUUUCUUCUUCUUCCUCAUCAAUUGAAUUGUCAUCAUCUUCAUCGCAAUCUUCAAUAUGGAUAUCAUCUUCUUCAUCGACAUUUGCUUGUCCGCUAGAGCUGAGAACAACAUUCAACUCCUCUCCGUCAAUAUCAACAAGACUAUCAUCGAGAACUCGAAAAUUUGAAUUUUCUUCCAAUUCAAUCGAAGGAGCAACUCGAUAUGGUUCAACCAACUCACGAACUUGAAAGACUUCAUCUCGCACACUUGUGUCUUCGUUCUCAUCCUGAACAACCUCGACACGACCCCGUGGUUUCGUUUUUAAAACGGACAACCAAUCAACUCUUGACGAUCCUUUCUAAAUGAAGGGGUGUAUGUGUAAUAAACUUGUUGACAUUGCUUUGCGAAAACAAAGACAUCGUUUAUGUUGCGGAGUCUAGCUUUUGAGUUGAUUUCGACCAGACCAUGGUGCGGAUCAACUCUGAUUCCUCUGUCCGUCGUGUCAUACCAAUAGCAUUUGAAUAAAAACACUUUAUUCUGCUCGCUAUGAUAUUGCAGUUCGACGACCUCUUCUAAUCUACCAUAGUAGUCAACUUCUAACUGGCUACUUGUGGAUCCCUUAACACAAACACCGCAGUUGUAUGUCUUUCUUCCUUGCCCGUAUUCUUCAGUAUGGAAAACAUAUCCAUUGACAAAAUACCCGUUGUAGCACUUAACUUUUCUUUCAGGGCCGAGGCUUAGUGAAGACAAUGACUUGGGCGCACUCCUUCCCAUUUGAUAAACCUUGUAAAUAUAUGUAAUUAAAUGUACAUCAAUACACGGUAAAUGAACGAGAAUCUCGUAAUGACAUGCAUACGUUAGAAUGAGUUUGUGAUAGUGCUUACAUGUGUUCUGAACCAUGUGGCAAAUUGUUCAUCUUGUAAUUGAAAGAUCUGGGAUUCGGUCAGCUGCGAGUUAUUGGAGAGCAAAUAUUGUCGAUGUUGCCUGCAAGUGAUAAUGAGUGUAUGAUAUUACAAUAUAUAAUUAACAGUAUAUUACUGACAAAGUUUAAUUAGUAUUACACAUAUAUAGACUUACUGAAUAAAUGGUCUCAGCUCAUCACAGUUAAAUAGAACAUAGUUGUGUGCUUGUUUGAAUUCUAUUUCCGACAAAUAUCUUCCUCUUACGGCAUUUUUAGGUGUGGGUCGUCCAGUAUUGGAGAAUAUUGACAAGUUCCCACUGGAAGGCACUUCACCGCCAUCGUCAUGCCGUGGAACGCGAUUGAUUCUUGUUCUCAGAUGAGGUUCGAAAUAGUACGAGAUAAAUGUUGAUAUCUCUUCAACAAUAUAGGCCUCAGAUAUCGAAGCCUCAACAUGCGCCUUGUUCUUAACCUUUUUUUUUAGAUUAAACAAGUACCUGCAUUGAAGUACAAUUCAAGUAUUUUCAAAUAAGAAAAACAUAGAAAAUACUUUAAGAUAUGAAUUCCAUUGCAACUGUAAUAUCUCACCGUUCGAAUGGGUACAUCCAUCUAUACUGGACCGGUCCUCCAGCUUUUGCCUCGAACGGUAGAUGUAUAGGGAGAUGCUCCAUUGAGUCAAAAAAUGAAGGAGGGAAUAUCAUCUCAAGUUUGCAUAGUGUCUCGAUGAUAUUCGUUUGAAGCAUCUCAAUGUGCUCAACAUUCAUCUUGCUGGAGCAUAUAUCUCUGAAGAAAUGACUGAUCUCCGUUAGUGCAUCCCAUAUUCCCUUUGGCAACAAAUCACGAAAAGCUAAUGGGAUGAGUGUUUGCAUAAACACGUGGCAGUCAUGCUCUUCAUUCCAUACAAUCUGCAGUCCUCUAUGUUAACAAGCCUUGAUAUGUUCGAUGCAUGUCCAUCCGGGAAACGCAGACUCUUAAGCCAUUUGUAGACUAGCAGUUGUGUUUUUCUCUAACACGAAGCUUGCCCUUGGUUUUGCAACCCGUGACUCGUCAUAAACCAACUCCAUAUUUUUACGGUUACAGUAUAAAGCUAUAUCCAAUCUAGCCUUCAUGUUGUCCUUUGUCUUCCCCUUCACAUCCAUGACGGUGUUGAAAAUAUUCUCAAACACGUUCUUUUCGAUGUGCAUGACGUCAAGGUUAUGGCGGAGAAGAUUAGUCUUCCAAUACGGAAGCUCCCAAAAGAUACUUCGCUUUACCCAAUUAUGGGUCAAACCAAAACCAGGAAACUUUUGCUUACCUGAUUGAAGGCCAAACACAAUGUCACCGUACUCUGAUACAACAUGAUGCAAUUCUUCACCAGAAAGACGCGGGGAUGCAACAUCUUUUUCAACUCUACCAACAAAGAAAUCUUUUCUGUUCUUUCUGAACCUGUGAUUAAGUGGCAAGAAGCGACGGUGACAGUCAAAAAAAGAAGCUUUACCUCCGUUUGCUAGCGUGAAUGCCUUGUUGUUUUCCAUGCAGUAUGGACAUGCGAGUUUCCCAUGCGUGCUCCAACCAGAAAGCAUUCCAUAAGCUGGAAAAUCACUGAUAGUCCACAUCAAAGCCGCCCUCAUAAGGAAAUUUUGUUUCCUCGAUAUAUCAUAAGUCAGAGAUCCGGAGGACCACAACUGCGCCAGCUCAUCUAUCAACGGUCGAAGACAAACAUCUAUAUUCCGCCCCGGGCUGCUUGGACCGGGUAUGACAGUAGAUAGAAACAUGAACUCCGGCCUCAUACACAUUCCCGGUGGCAAGUUAUAAACUGUGAGAAUGACCGGCCAACAAGAAUAGGGAGCAGCAAAUGACCCAAAUGGGUUGAACCCGUCUGUACACAACCCAAGUCGAACAUUCCUUGAUUCAGCAGAAAAGUCAGGAUGAACACUGUUAAAGCGUUUCCACGCUUCGCCGUCAGAAGGAUGCACCAUCACACCAUCAACGACAUCGUGUGUUUGGUGCCAUGUCAUGUGCUCAGCAGUCCUUGGUGACAUAAAUAACCUCUGCAGUCUAGGUGUGAUCGGGAAAUAUCUAAGUUUUUUAUAUGCCACUAGAGUCUUCCCCCUGCCAGUUCUGGGUUUGUAACGGGAAUGCCCGCAUGUCAUGCACUCGGUCAUCUCAGCAUUUUCAAGGUAGUAUAACAUGCAGAAGUUAGGGCACAUGUCAAUUUUCUGGUAUCCUAAACCGAGGGGUUUCAUCAUGGACUUCGCAGCAUAGAAGUUCUCUUUGAGCCUGUUCCCUUCUGGUAAAAUGCUUCUUGCCCAAUCAAUAAUUUUGUCAUACCCGGCCUCACUCAACCCGUGAUCUGACUUGAUGGUGAACACCUGUGCCACAGCCGAUAAUUUACUGUGGUUUGUGCAGCCAUCCCAUAAUGGUUCGUCAGAAUCUUUCAACAAAUCAAAAAACCUAGCUGCCUCUGCAUUAGGUUCUUCUUCUACGAUUGGACAUUGAUUGACAUUAUCUUGAUUCAUUCUCAUUGCAUCCAUAACCAUGUUUCUGUAAGGAUUAGUGUUGUCAUUUGCCGCUUCAUGCACGUUGCUAGCACUAGAAGUUGACCCAACCACCGUUUCUCCCAUUCUCCUAUUACUAACAAAUACCUCUCCAUGUGCAUACCAACACUCGUAAUCCUCCACAAACCCUUUGUGUAGAAGAUGCAUCAUUACAACAUCUGGAUGCAGAUACUUUUUAUUUUGACACUUCCUGCAUGGACACCUAAUACCGCCUCCAGUAAAAUUUCUGGGAAUAGAUGUUGCGAAAUUAAUAAAACCCUGAACCCCGUUACAAUAAUCCAUCCUCCGCAAUCCUUGGGGUGAAUCUAGAUACAUCCAUGAACGAUCAUCCAUGACUUCUAUCGAACCUCUAUAAAAAGGACCCAUUAAGCAAGCUCUUAAUUAUUUCAAAACAUAACAUGUAAUUCGGUAAUUCUACAAAUUAAGUUUUAACAAUUUCAAACAAAUACAAUCUUACAAAAUCUAAAACAAACCAUAACAAGUAUAAAAUUAUACAUUCAUAUACUACAAGUUUGUUUGAGAAAUAACAAUAAAACAUGUACAUCUACUAAAAAAAAUACAUAUACUAAAAAAAUAAAAUUGACAUUUAAAUGUUAAAAUUUUAAAAGAUAGAAUUACUUACAAAAAAUGAUAAAAUCCGUCGGUAAAUCAGAACACGGAUGCUGUGACCACAAAACUUCAAGAAAUACAACUUGUUGUGCUGAGAUGAGGAAGAUUUUUUUUUUUUAGGGCGAGGGGGGGCUAGUUAUUUGCAGAUGGGGAGGGUUAGGAUUAGGAAGAAGAAGGAGAAAUGAGGGAGGAGAGUGUCGGCAGAGUGGCCAUAUAUUCACUUUUGCCGACGGACUUACCGACGGUUUUAUUCCGUCGGUGAAUACGUCGGCAAAACCGUCGGUAAUUCUGACGGGCAAUCAACACGUCACCGCACGGACCUGCUAUUCAAAUCCCUCGGUGAUCCGUCGGUAUUUUUAACGGUGGACCGGUCGCGUCACCGGUAUGGAUCUGGCAUUUCAAAUCAGUCGGUGAUUCCGUCGGUAUUAUUGACGGUGAACAGGUCCCAUCAUGCGUACGGCUCCCCGGUUUUCAUUCCGUCGGAAAAAUCACCCGCCAAAACCUCCGCGCCUUUUUUUUCAUUAAUUCUGAAUUUUCUGUCGGUAAUUCGGUUGGUGAAUUCGACCGAAAAAUACCGACAGAAAAAAUUCCGUCGGUGAGUCCGUUGGUAUUUAGCGAAUUUCUGGUAGUGAAAUAUAAAAGAUCAAUAAAAAGUAAUCAUUAUAUUCAAUUUAAUAAAUAUAAUAAUAACUUACAAAAUAAAAUUGUUGAACAAACAUACCAUGAAAUGUUAAGCAUGGCUGUCAACAAACUGUUUCGCCCCCUUUUGACGGUCUUGACUCCGCAUGUGCGUCUCCAUAAACAACUCCAUCGGGCUCGGCUCACGUCCAAGAGACGUAGCCUAUAAUGAAAAAAAUUUAUUAAAAACAAAUUAAUUGAACGAUAUAUUUCAUUUAAAUUAAUCUUACCAUCCGUUUCGUAUGUGCAGCAAACGAAAGGAAGCCGCCGGUGUGCAUUAUCACCGAGCCAUGAAUUGGCUGAUUCCGGUUGUCAGAACUGGAUUAUGAGCGUCGUGUGAACCGCUCAGAUGUCACGUGUUGAAGAUAGUGCAGCCAUAUAUCUUCCAGGAUGUAUAUCGGUUUGAAAUCUCUCCGAACUGUAACAUCGUUUUAGCCUUGGAACCCCCUAUCCCUCGCUUUUUUUUUGGGCUUUGUACAAAAAAUCACGCAACCUACUUCACGCAAGAAAAAAAUACAUUUCGAAACAUAAAUUUUUUUCUAAAAAAAAGUUGUAUUGUUUUCGAUGUUACCUAGUUGCUAUGUGAUUUUCCCAUACCCUCCUCACAAUAGUGUUAUGUUCACUGUCCUAGCAGAAUCGAUCUUGUGGAUAAAUAAUAAUAAUUUAUUUACAAUUAUAUUAAUAAUUUAUUAGAAAUAAGCUGAAAAUUAUAUAUUAACACUAACCUCAAAUCUGGAAAACCAUGCAUUGAUAUCUGACUGCAUUGAAACAAUGGAAUCUCCAUCGACGAUUUAAACGUAGAUGAUAUUACUCGGGCGGCUUCAAUGUUUGUGAACCUGAAAAUAAAUGAAAUUAAUGAAAUAAUGAUUACUUCAUAAAUUAUGUUUUAAUUUUUUUUUAAAAAAAACUAAAACCUUUACAAACUUGCAUUGAAAGGCCGUCCUUCCACUGUGCCUCGUACUUGCGGGUAAAUUAAUUCCGCUGUGAAGGCACGCCGCCUCUACGCUAUGAACUAGUGCUGGAAGAGGCAGCAUCGGUUGACAGUGCAGGUGGUGUAGGUGCCUUUUUUUGAGAGGCAUCUAAGGAAAUAUCAUCCUCGCUGCUAGACAAACUUGUUGCGACCGGACGUGAACGACCAACUCUGGUUUUCAUUUUGCGCAUCUACCCAAUUUUAUAUAAAUAAUUAUAUAAUUAAAUUCAAAUGUUACAAAAAUUCGACGGCACCUCCCUGAUACUAGAUGCUACCCAAAUCCACAAACAUGCAAAUAUUUACAAUAGCCACAACUAAUUGGCCCAAUUUAUACUAAUUAUUCCAACAUAUUCAAUUACUAAUUCUAAGGUAAAUUCAACAUUAACAAUUACAAUUCAAAACAUUAUUCAAUAAUUAUGCCAAUACAACAAAACAAUAAAUUCAAAAUAAAUGGAAACAAUUAAACACAAAUCAUGCAAUAAUAGAGUAAAAUUAAUAAUUCUUCCAGCAUAUUCAAUUACUAAUUCUAAGGUAAAUUCAACAUUAACAAUAUUAAUUCAACAAAUUAUUCAAUAAUUAUGCCAAUACAACAAUAAAAUAUAUUGAAUAAAUUAAAAAAGAAUUAUAGACUAACAAUUAAAAUCAAUGGAAACAAUUAAACACAAAUCAUGCAAUAAUAUAGUAAAAUUACUAAUUAUUCCAACAUAUUCAAUUACUAAUUCUAAGGUAAAUUCAACAUUAACAAUUAUAAUUCAACAACAAUAAAAUAUAUUUAAUAAAUUAAAAAAAAUAUAGACUAACAAUUAAAAUCAAUGAAAAUAAUUAAACACAAGUCAUGCAAUAAUAGAGUAAAAUUACUAAUUAUUCCAACAUAUUCAAUUACUAAUUCUAAGGUAAAUUCAACAUUAACAAUUAUAAUUCAACAACAAUAAAAUAUAUUUAAUAAAUUAAAAAAAUAUAGACUAACAAUUAAAAUCAAUGAAAAUAAUUAAACACAAGUCAUGCAAUAAUAGAGUAAAAUUACUAAUUAUUCCAACAUAUUCAAUUACUAAUUCUAAGGUAAAUUCAACAUUAACAACAAAUAUUCAAUAAAUUAACUACUAACAAUUAUGCCAAUACAAUAAUAAAAAAUAUUCAAUAAAUUCAAAAAACAAAAAAGCUAUAGACUUUAGGAAAUAAAUAUGCAUACCUUAAUAAUGUGUUGAAUUCAAACUUUAUCUACAUUACAAAAAAAUACACCAAAACAAAAAACAUAGAAAGAAUAAAAAUAACUAAAAAUAAAUUAAAAUUAAAUAAAAUAAAAUAGAAAAAAACACAUACCUUUUAAUGUGAUAAAGAUUCACAACAAAUCUUGCUAGAGAUUCUAGGUGAAAGCCUUGAAGGAUUGAGAGGAAAAAAAUCAAAAUUUUAAGGUGAAAAACUGGAGGAGAAGAAAAAAUGAACUAAAGGGGCGGUCACUGGAAUUUAUAAGGCAGUUUUACCAUCGGAUUCACCGACAGAAAUAAAAAAUUAUGAUUAUUUUAAUUAAAUCCAUUGGUAAACUAUCAAAAAUCCGUUGGCAAUUUUUGAGUUUUGCACCGAAAGUUUUAAUUAGCCUCCAUAUUUUUCACAGUCCGUCGGUAGUUUGACACGGUCAGAGGUGCAUUCAAUGCACACCCUUUGGAAUUCGCACAUUCCAUCGGUAUUUUUGUUGGUAAAAUUUGCCCACCGACAAAUUACCGACAGACAUAAUUACAUCGGUAUGGACGUUGGUUAUUGUGGCAUUUUGUUGUAAUUAUUUUCGAACUCUCUGUGAGAUGCUGACGGAUAUGAGUCCGUCGGUAUGGACGUCGGUGAUUGUGGCAUUUUGUUGUAAUUAUUUUCGGACUCUCUGUGAGAUGCUGACGGACGUGAGUGCGUCGGUAUGGACGUCGGUGAUUGUGACAUUUUUUUGUAAUUAUUUUUGAACUCUUUAUGCGUCCGUCGGUGAUUGUGGCACUUUACAAGAAAUGUUGUAUUUGUAUUGCCUAUUUACCUUCCUGCAAAAACUUAAAUGAUGAACUGUCCAUCGCACAAAACAAUAACAACAGUGCUUAAACAAUAAAUAUUUUUUGUUACAAAAUAUAUCAUUCAUAAUCUAAAUUACAUGAAAAAAGGGUUUUACACAAUGCUACGUUUUGAUAGUUAGUCAUAAUUUUCUUCUUCUUCGUCAUCAAUUGAAUACUCAUCACCUUCAUCGCAAUCUUCAAUAUGGAUAUCAUCUUCUUCAUCGACAUUUGCUUGUUCACUAGAGCUCAAAACAACGUUCAACUCCUCUGCGUCAACAUCAAUAAGACUAUCAUCGAAAACACGAAAAUUUGAAUUUUCUUCUAAUUCAAUCGAAGGAGCAACUCGAUAUGGUUCAACCAACUCACUAACUUGAAAGACUUCAUCUCACACACUUGUGUCUUCAUUCUCAUCCUGAACAACCUCGACAUGACCUCGUGGUUACGUUUUUAAAACGGACAACCAAUCAACUCUUGAUCGAUCCUUCCUAAAUGAAGGGGUGUAUGUGUAAUAAACUUGUUGACAUUGCUUUGCGAAAACAAAGACAUCGUUUAUGUUGUGGAGUCUAGCUUUUGAGUUGAUUUCGACCAGACUAUAGUGCGGAUCAACUCUGAUUCCUCUGUCAAUCGUGUAAUACCAAUAGCAUUUGAAUAAAAACACUUUAUUCUGCUGGCUAUGAUAUUGCAGUUCGACGACCUCUUCUAAUCUACUACUAGUGGAUCCCUUAACACAAACACCACAGUUCUAUGUCUUUCAUCCUUGCCCGUAUUCUUCAGUAUGGAAAACAUAUCCAUUGACAAAAUACCAGUUGUAGCACUUAACUUUUCUUUCAGGCCCGAGGCUUAGUGAAGACAUUGACGUAGGCACACUCCUUCCCAUUUGAUAAACCUUGUAUAUAUGUAAUGUAUAUUAAUAAACAGUAAAUGAACAAGAAUCUCGUAAUGACAUGCAUACGUAUAGUAAUUUUGCAAGUUAGAAUGAGUUUGUGAUAGUGCUUACAUGUGUUCUGAACCAAGUGACAAAUUGUUCAUCUUGUAAUUGAAGAAUCUGGGAUUCGGUUAGUUGUGAGUUAUUGGAGAGCAAAUAUUGUCGAUGUUGCCUGCAAGUGAUAAUGAGUGUAUGAUAUUACAAUAUAUAAUUAACAGUAUAUUAAUGACAAAGUUUAAUUAGUAUUACACAUAUAUAGACUUACUGAAUAAAUAGUCUCAACUCAUCACAGUUAAAUAGAACAUAGUUGUGUGCUUGUUUGAAUUCUAUUUCCGACAAAUAUCUUCCUCUUACAACAUUUUUAGGUGUGUGUCGUCCAGUAUUGGAGAAUAUUGACAAGUUCCCACUGGAAGGCACUUCACCGCCAUCGUCAUGCCGUGGAACGUGAUUGAUUCUUGUUCUCAGAUGAGGUUCGAAAUAGUACGAGAUAAAUGUUGAUAUCUCUUCAACAAUAUAGGCCUCAGAUAUCGAAGCCUCAACAUGCGCCUUGUUUUUAACCUUUUUUUUUAGAUUAAACAAGUACCUGCAUUGAAGUACAAUUCAAGUAUUUUCAAUUAAGAAAAACAUAGAAAAUACUUUAAGAUAUGUAUUCCAUUGCAACUGUAAUAUCUCACCGUUCGAAUGGGUACAUCCAUCUAUACUGGACUGAUCCUCAAGCUUUUGCCUCGAACGGUAGAUGUAUAGGGAGAUGCUCCAUUGAGUAAAAAAAUGAAGGAGGGAAUAUCGUCUCAAGUUUGCAUAGUAUCUCGAUGAUAUUCGUUUGAAGCCUCUCAAUGUGCUCAACAUUCAACUUGCUGGAGCAUAUAUCUCUGAAGCAAUGACUGAUCUCCGUUAGUGCAUCCCAUAUUCCUUUUGGCAACAAAUCACGAAAAGCUAAUGGCAGUCAUGACUCUUCAUUCCAUACAAUCUGCAGUCCUCUAUAUUAACCAGCCUUGAUAUGUUCGAUGCAUGUCCAUCCGGAAAACACAGACUCUUAAGCCAUUUGUAGACUAGCAGUUGUGCGUUUUUCUCUAACACGAAACUUGUGUCACGAUGGGCACCACAAAGGGUAAGUUGUGCAAACAAAUCUAGAAAUAGACUUACAUGGGCCAACUCGAAUAGGCUAGAAGCCAAGCGAUAAAGAUUACCCAAAUUAGAGGUAGCAAGUCCUCAUCAAUCAAGCAACAAGAAGACUAAGAAGAAAUGGGGGCCUAUAUUUAAAAUAAGAUAAAGAUGCAUGCAUAUCAUCUAAACUUUGAGACAUUGGACAAUGAGUUUUGCAAAUUUCAUAAGAGAAAAUUCUAACGGAAUCCAUCAAGUAAAGAUCAACUUAAAAUGGCCAAGAUUGAAAUUGCUUUUGAAAAUUUUUCACUUUUGACCUGGGUAGGCCGCCCAUGAGCAUUAGACCACCUAAAAAAUCUUUACAUUUUUCCACCUCGUUUUGAGUGCACCUUCGAGCUCUUUUUUUCCUUUUGAGUGCACCUUUGAGCCCUCACCUCAUUUUUUUUUUACUGCACCUUUGGGCCCUCGACAAUUAAAGGUAGUGUGUUUCCUACCCUACUGAUUAGUACUUAAAAGUGUAUUUUUAUCAAGGUUUUAUGUUAACAAGUGAAGCAUAGUUACCGUUGCCCAGACAGACUACGUUUUCAAAUCCAAGAACUGCCAUAGAUGACGCAGCAAUGAGUUUAAGGAAUCCAGAAAGUAGUUCCAGGAAUUACUUAUCCACUUCAAUUAUGUAUGGAGGAUAGUUAUUUUAUUUACGAUAACCUAAAACUUAUGGCGUUGUCCUUAAUAAGCCUUUCUUUGAUCACAUUCAGAACACUGGACUCUGUUAUAUGUAAAAGGUGGUUCGAUGAUAUAUAUAUAUAUAUAUAGUAUCUCAUUGUACAAUUGCGUUUCCUCUGUUGACCAUUUACAACAAAACCAUUUCUUGUUUGCCUUCUUUUCUUUAUUAUUUUUUUAUUUUUCUUAUGAAAUUAGAAAAAAGAAAAGUCCAAGAGAGGUCAAUUUCAUUGAUUAACGAACCGGCAGGUAAAUUGAUGGCUACAUUUUUUAUUUUAUUUAGGAAGAUCAUGAAACAUGGCUCAUCAUCUACUAAAUGCUUCUUGCUUUUUUCUUCCUUGUUCAUGAAUGUCACCUUCCAUGGCUAGAAGGAUCUACCGCUUCCUUUUGUUUUGCUUCUGUGCCUCUCACGUUUUGGCAGCAGACACACUGUACCAAGGUGGUGAUUCCCUCAAUUCUUCCAAUACUCUAGUUUCCAAAAAUGGGCUCUUCACUAUAGGAUUCACAAGACUCGGCUCUGCCGAGUCGAAUGCUAGCUACUUGGGAAUAUGGUACAACAAUGACACAAGCCACCCUUUUUGGCUAGCCAACAGAGCCAAACCCAUAGCAGACAAUUCCGAGGUUCUUGCAAUAGAUGGAUCAGGAAAUAUGAAAUUCACCUACUCUGGAGGUGAUCCUGUUGAGUUCUAUUCAAGUCAAUCUUCUGCAAGCAAUAUAACAGCUAUUUUAGAAGAUUCAGGCAAUUUUGUUCUCAAAGAUGAAAAUUCUGGCAACCAACAGGUCUUAUGGCAAAGCUUUGACUUUCCUACUGACAUAUUCUUGCCUGGAAUGAAGUUAGGGAUCAACCAUAAACUGGUCAAACCUGGUCCCUCAUGUCGUGAUUGAGCGACUUAGCACCACUCCCGCUGGUGCUUUCACUUUUGAAUGGGAUACUAAUGGAAAGGAGUUGGUCAUUAAGCGGCGAGAUGUAAUUUAUUGGACUUCGGACCAUUGAGGAGCAAUACUAGUUCGAAAGUCCUUUUCUGGAUGCAGCGGUUCUUGAUUUCAGUUUAUUAAUGUUUUAACGCAGACGAGGAUUACUUUAUGUUCACAGUUUCUGAAAAUCAAUUUACUCCUCAGGGUCAAAGGAAUUUUUCAAUGUGGCAGUUGAGAUCUGAUGGGGGCAUCGAAGAUCUAACUACUGGACGAGUAUAUGGGGGCUCAUCAUGUAAAGGAAAUAAUAAAGAUGGUGGUUACGAGAGUUGGUCAGGACCGGCAUGCAGGAGCAAAAGGAACAGUUUUGAAUUGAGACGAGGUUACUUUGUUAACACAGUUCCUAGUAAGGUCGACGAUAAUUCUAGUCUUAGCAUUAGUGAUUGCAUGGACAUCUGCUGGAAAGAUUGUCAAUGUGUUGGUGUUCCUACCACAGGCAAUAAUGCCAACAAUACUAGGUGCACGUUUUUUUAUGGAAGCUUUACACAAGACCAGAGUGGAAAUGCAAUUCAAUACCACAUCAUUGUUCAAGGCUCUUCAGGUUAGCUGUUCUUUCGUUUUCUGGGUUCCAAUUUGUAACCCCACAAUGCAAUUAAUUUUAAAUAAAUUGCCAUUGGAUUUAGGGAAACGAAUUGGAAAUGGAUUGUUUUAGCUUUUGUGGGAUUUGUUUCGUUGCUGGGGCUCGCGGUACUCUUGUGUUAUCUGAUAAGGAGAAGCCUUGGAGGUAACAUUUUCUAAAUAACAAACAAAUUUACUGAUUUUUUUAUUUUUUAUUUUUUAUUUUGCUUUUAUAAGCAUUAAGACUUGUUGAAUUCCAAGAUUAGCUUACUUUAUCAUAUCAAUCUGAGCAGAUAAGAACCUAUCUGAGUUGCUGACAUUGGAUUCAACGAAUGAUACGCUUGAACUCGAAAAUGACGGAAACAAGGUGGCUUUGGACCAGUUUACAAGGUAGUCUGUCAUAAAUUACUUCAAGAAGGAUUGAAGAACUUAUUAACUUUGUAUCUCGGGCCAAGUAUUGAGCUGAGAGCUGUUUUACUUCAGGGGACAUUGCCGGAUGGGCGAGAGAUAGCUGUAAAAAGACUGUCUAGAAGUUCAGGACAAGGGCUGGUGGAAUUCAGAAACGAGCUUAUACUCAUAGCUAAAUUGCAACACAUGAAUCUUGUCAGGCUCCUAGGCUGCUGCAUUCAAGGGGAAGAUAAAAUGUUAGUGUACGAAUACAUGCCUAAUAAAGCUUGGAUACAUUUAUAUUGGUAAGUUAAUUAUGCCAAUCAUACUAUAAAGUGAAUGGAUCUCUGUUCUUGCAAGGUUUUGGACUUAAUAACAUUGCUGGAAUAUAUUCACUGUUAUUUUAAAUGCAGAUCAAUCAAAAAAGGGAGCUCUAGACUGGAAGAAGCGAUUUGAAAUAAUUGAAGGGAUAGCUCAAGGUCUCCUUUACCUUCAUAAGUACUCGAGAUUGAGGAUAAUUCACCGAGAUUUGAAGGCUGGUAACAUACUACUUGAUGAAAAUCUGAAUCCCAAAAUUUCUGAUUUUGGCAUGGCAAGAAUUUUCAAGAUCAAUGAUUUAGAAGGAAAUACAAACCACAUUGUUGGGACGCGGUAAGUAUAGAUUUACAGUUCUAUGUGUCAUUACUCUGUUAAGUGCUUUAAAGUAACAGAACAUUCACUGUGUCCAUACAGUGGUUAUAUGUCCCCUGAGUAUGUCAUGGAGGGCAUUUUCUCUGUGAAAUCCGAUGUCUUCAGUUUUGGAGUUCUACUGCUGGAAAUUGUGAGUGGUAGAAGGAUCCAUGGCCUCCUUGAAAUAGACGGCCACCCUCUCAAUCUUGUGGGAUAUGUAAGUUCAUUUCAAGCAACCUCAUGAAUGAUAACAUUGCUAGCUGCAUAAGCUUUUAAUUUUAACAUUAAACGUAAACUUGGUUCAGACAUGGGAGCUAUGGAAAGCAAGUAGCCCAUUUGAGGUGGUGGAUCCAAUACUAAGAGAAUCUUGCUCUAAAGACCAAGUCUUGAGAUGCAUUCAUGUGGGCUUGCUAUGUGUAGAAGACAAUGCAGUGGAUAGGCCGAUUAUGUCAGAUGUUAUAUCAAUGCUAACAAGUGAAGCACAAUUACCUCUUCCCAAACAGCCUGCAUUUUCAAGUGCAAGAAGUAUCGUGGAAGAAAACAGCCUGCAUUUUCCAGCAGAGAUUGGUACUUCCAUAAAUAAUGUAUCUCUGUCAACCAUGGAUGCGAGAUAAAGGAUAAUUAGAGCGUUAGAUGGUUUAUGUCUCCUCACAAUCUUGUAUGUCAUGUCGUAUUGGAGCAGUCACAUUCUCUGUAAUGUUUUGAAAUUAAUAAGAUAGGAAAUUACAACAAAGCCCUUGGAGACUUAAAAGUUGGAAUAAAUGAAUAAGGGGUAUUAUGGUAAUUGAACAAAAAUUGAUAAAUAUAAAUAGGAAGUAAAAAAAAAAAAAAGAAAGAAUGAUCUGAAUUAGAGAGAGAACGUGAGAGAGAAGAGGAGAAGAAGAAGAAGAGAAAAGAAGGGAAAAUAAGGGAAAAGGAAGAGAUUUGGAGGAAAUAAGUGAAAAAGGUAAGAUUUAGGUUGUUUAAUGUGUAUAAUAUGUUAAUUAAGCUUUAAUUUCAGUUUUUAUGAAUGUUAGGGUUUUGAGAAUUUGUGUUUUUUAAAUUGAUGAAUUAAAUUGAAGGUUAGGGGUUGAUUGUUGUGUUUAAUUGAUGAUUUAGUUGAUUAUGGAAGAUUAUGAUGAUUUUGAGUUAUAGAAUUGUGUGAAAUGUGAAUUGAGUUAGAAAUCAGGGGAGAACAGUGGGGUUUCUGUUAAAAUCUGGACUGGAGGUUGAAGAUGACGAAAAUUCAAUUUGGUCCCUCAAUUUCCGAAAAUUACAGUUUAGUCCCCGAACUUUGGAAAAUUACAAAUUGGUCCCUGGAGCAUAUUCCGAGAUUCUGAACAGAAUAACAUAUGAAUUAUGGACAUAAUUACUGUAUAGAUAAGAUAAUUUAACACUUUCAAUUUAGUCCUCCAAUUUGACAAAAAGUACGAUUUGACCCUAAAAAUUUAGUAAAAUUCCAGAAUGAUCCCUGAAGCAUAAUGAUACAUCCUGGACAGAAUUGAGGAUUAAUUAAGGUCAGAAUUUCAGUAUAUUCAUGGAUUUAUGACAAAUUUCAGUUUGGUCCUCCAUUUGAAAAAGUUACAAUUUGGCCCUAAAAAUAUGGAAAAAUUCCAGAUUAGUCCCUAGCUGUAAUAUUAGCUUUUGCAGAUUAGUUUGAUGAAUAAUUAAGGGUUAUUUAGUGAAUUAUUACCAAUUUUAUUAGUUGUUUUUAUUAUGGAUUAGAUUUCGGGAAAACCGUUAGAUUUUGGGUUUUUAAGAAAAUUGACUAGUUAGUUCAAAAAUAUAGGGUUACGGAAUACACCCUUAGUUAAGUGUAUUAAAUAGGUUAAAUGUUCUUUCGAGUCGUUUUUGAAUAUGUCUCCUUUGUAUUCAGAUAAUCCUGAUAUUCUACCGGCAGGACGUCAGUAGAAUUUCCUUCGGUUUCAGCUUGUGUGUGGUUUGCUUUUGAGUCAGGUGAGUGGAUAAUUUUCCAUAUGCAUGAGAAAUAUUAUAAAUAUUUGAUUUGUUAAUAUGAAUUGGAUCAUGCUUCUUGAUAAUAUAUAUAUGAUUAUUAUCCUUGAUAUGAUAAAGCAUGAUCAAUUAUUGAAUCUGAUUUCUUGAUAUGAACCAAUAUGAUUUGACUUCUGAAUUGAUAGCUCCUCAUUUGAUGGAUGUCAUGAGUUGAGCUUUGAGAUAUGAAUAUGUUUGUUUGAUUAUGAUUAUGAACCUAUGGUAUGUCAGUCAGAAUACCCAUGCUAACAGGGUAGUGUUAGUCUUUGUGCACAUCGUAUCUGAACCCUAGUUGGUCGGGGGAGUCACCAACCUGUGUGGACUGAUCAUCCCACAGUACGGAGCCUCAUGCUCAUUGCAUUUUGAUUUUCUGACGAGUUUUACCAUAUGAUAUUCUUGUUAUGGCCUAUUUGAUAAACCUUCGUAUAAGAACUAAAGCCAUACUUGUAUAUAUAUUUCUCAUUGUUAUAUUACCUCGUGUGUGUAUAUUGAACGUUAUCUACUCACUGAGUUGUUGAACUCACCCUCUCAUUAUUUAUCCUUUUCAGGCUUAUAGCUUGAUAGCAGGUUACUUUUGUUGAACCUUCCGAACCUGCCUUUUGGUUGUAAUUUGUACCUUCCUUUUGUGUCAAGUUAGUGCUCCAAAACUAUGAAAUUAUUAACUCUUGUAUUAAGACAAUUACAUUAUAUUAUGAAGUUGUUUGUUGUUAAUUCUGCGUUAAACUCUGAUUGAGUUGUUUAAAGGAUUGUAUGUAAGUUUGGGUUCGCAUAGGUUUGGAACCUUGGAGGGGAACCUUGCCUAUGUGCCGGUCAUGGAUCCGGGAUUCGGGUCGUGACAAACUUGGUAUCAGAGCUUUAGGUUAAAGAAACAAUAAUAUAAUUAAUUUCAUAAUAAGUGGAGCAUUAGGAUCCGUAUCGUCUUGUUUGUUGUUUUUGAAAUUUUAAAUUCUCAUCAAGUAUGUCUUCUUCCUUGUGAUAGAUAUGCUUUCCUAUAAUUCUGAGAUAAUUAUCAUGCUAUUGUUCUAGCAUGACUUAAGUGAUCUCUCUUUUAUUUUAGGAAAUGCCGAGGAAUAGACGAAGAACUGAUACUCUUAGGGUAGAUGAUGAUCAGGAUGAUGUCCCUAUUAUGCAGUUGAUAACUGCAAGGCAGAGAAGGAGGCGUGGUGCACCCGUGCCUCAACAUGUUGAUGAGGUACCUCCACCAGUGGAGGAAGAGCCUCAGGAGAUAGAAGAGGAAGAUAUGGUUGAUGAAACAGGUGUGGGGGUAGCUGACCCUGAGCCUGUUACAGAGGUUCAGCGACUUAGCCAGGUUGUGCAGACUUGGAUAGAGUUUACUAUGGAGAGAGACAGAAUGAGGGAUAGAGAUGUACCCUCGACAUCCCACACUGUUCAGGGAGUUAAUGUGCCAUUGGAUGACUUUAUGAAGUUGGCACCUCCUAUUUUUACUGGGAUAGACAGUUCAGAGGAUCCUCAAGUUCCUAGAUGACAUUUGGCGACGAUGUAAAGCUUUGGGAUGUACAGACCACCGAGCUGUGAGUUUGGCAUCGUUCAGGUUGGAAGGAGAUGUGGCAAUCUCUUGGUUUGAGUCUAGGGAAAGAGCAAGACCAGUAGAGGCUCAGUGGACAUGGAAGGAGUUUAGCUCCAUGUUCUUAGACAGGUUUCUCCCUCAGAGCAUCAGGGAUGCUCGACUUUAUGAGUUUGAGAGGCUAUCUCAAGGGAGCAUGACAGUGGAGGAGUAUGAUCUGAAGUUCACUCAACUGUCUAGGUAUGCAGAAUAUCUUCUACCCACUGAGGAAUGGAGGGUGAAGAGAUUCAUUAGAGGACUCAAAUCCUCUCUGUAUAUGGUAUUGGCGCCACAAGUGUUUCCAUCCUACUCCUCAGCUGUUGAUAGCGCCAGAUUGCUAGAGGCGCGUGAAAUAGAGGACAUGACUGUUGGCCAGUCUAAGAGGCCUAGAGAAGAGGGUCAGUCUUUUAGGCAACAGGAUUAAGUGCAGGUCCGUUUAGGGGACGAAGUGGCCGUCAGGGCUCAUGGGUUCAGAGGAGGUUUAGACAGAGACCAUCAGUUAGUGGCUCAGGCAGUCAGAGUGGCAGUAGUGGUGCCCAGAGUUUAGUUCAGACUGCACCUCGUAGUUCAUUUGUUUCAUCUGGGGAUAGUUCUUUGUGUCAGCACUGUGGAGGAGGUCAUAACAGUGCAGAGUGCUACAGAAGGACUGGGGCUUGUUUUAGUUGUGGCCAGAUAGGUCAUAAGAUUAGAGAGUGCCCGAGGAGACAGUUGUCCACUUCGGGGUUAUCUGCUUCAGUCCAGCAGCCUAUUCAGGCACCAUCGACGAGCCAGUCUGUGGCUCAUGGGGGUAGAGGUUUUGGUGGCCGUGGUCAAAGAGGUCGGGGUGCAGGUGAUAGAGGUCAGAUACAGCAGGGUCAGGGGCAUGCCAGAGUUUUUGCCUUGACUCAGCAGGAUGCUCAGGCAUCCAACACAGUUGUUUCAGGUAUUCUUCCUGUUUGCUCUUUUGAAGCAAAAGUUUUGUUUGAUACGGGUGCAACUCAUUCGUUUGUGUCCCCAUAUUUUGCCAUGAGGUUAGAUAAACAACCAACCUUGUUAAAAUCCCCCAUUUCAGUCUCCACUCCCUUAGAUGAGUUAAUAUUAGUAAAGUAUGUGUAUCUGGAUUGUGAAAUAGAGAUUGGAGAUAAGAUCUUUAUGGGAGACUUAAAUGUCUUAGAUAUGGUUGAUUUUGAUGUGAUUUUGGGAAUGGAUUGGUUGGCUAAGCAUAGGGCUUCGGUAAAUUGUUGGGGUAAGAAAAUAAUGUUUGAUCUAGAUCAAGAAGUUGGGUUGGUAUUUCAAGGAGAUAAGAUUGGGUCUCCAUCAAUUAUGUUGUCGGCUAUCUCGAGGAAAAUGGCCCGAAAAGGGGUACAGUGCUACCUAGCAUAUAUAGUGGAUGUAGAGAAAGAAGUUCCCCAGUUAGAGGAAGUCCCUAUAGUAGAGAGUUUAUCGAUGUCUUUCCUGAUGACUUACCUGGAUUGCCUCCGUAUAGGGAGAUUGAGUUUUGUAUUGAUUUGGUUCCGGGCACUGAACCAAUAUCAAUGGCACCAUAUAGAAUGGCGCCAGCAGAAUUGAGGAGUUAAAGGAGCAGCUGCAGGAUUUAUUGGAUAAAAAGUUCAUCCGACCAAGUGUGUCCCCUUGGGGAGCUCCGGUGUUGUUUGUGAAGAAGAAAGAUGGGUCAUUGAGGUUGUGUAUAGAUUAUAGGCAAUUGAAUCGGGUGACAGUUCGAAAUAGAUACCCACUCCCUCGUAUAGAUGAUUUGUUUGAUCAGUUACAGGGAGCUCAAUUCUUUUCUAAGAUCGAUCUUCGAUCUGGGUAUCAUCAGUUGAGGAUUAGGGAGGAGACAUUUCAAAGACAGCUUUUAGAACUCGGUAUGGUCAUUAUGAGUUUUUAGUGAUGUCUUUUGGGUUGACGAAUGCACCAGCAGCUUUUAUGGACUUGAUGAAUAGAGUGUUUGGCCAAUUUAUUGAUCGAUUUGUGAUAGUUUUUAUUGAUGAUAUUUUGGUGUAUUCGAGGUCUAGAGAGGAGCAUGAGCAGCAUUUGAGAAUGGUGCUUCAAACUCUGCGAGAUCAUCAGUUGUAUGGCAAGUUCUCAAAGAGUGAGUUUUGGUUGGAGAGUGUAGCAUUUCUUGGGCAUGUAGUGUCAAGGAAUGGGAUUGAGGUUGAUCCUCAAAAGAUUGAAGCAGUUAAGCAGUGGCUUAGGCCUACUUCGGCGACAGAGAUUAGAAGUUUCUUAGGUUUGGCCGGCUACUAUCGGAGGUUUGUGGAGAACUUUUCUCGAAUUUCUGCACCAUUGACUAAGUUAACGCAGAAAAAUGUUAAGUUUCAGUGGUCUGAAGCUUGUGAGAAAAGUUUCUUAGAGUUGAAGGAGAGAUUGACUACAGCCUAUUCUAGCAGUACCAUCAGGUUCUGGUGGUUACACAGUGUAUUGUGAUGCUUCGAGAGUGGGGUUAGGAUGUGUUCUAAUGCAGCAUGGCAAGGUUAUUGCCUAUGCUUCACGGCAGCUGAAGAAGCAUGAACAGAACUAUCCUACACAUGAUUUAGAGAUGGCGGCUGUAAUUUUUGCUUUGAAGAUUUGGAGGCACUACUUGUAUGGUGAAACUUGUGAGAUCUUUACAGAUCACAAGAGUUUGAAAUACAUCUUUCAGCAAAGGGAUCUAAACCUGAGGCAGAGGAGAUGGAUGGAACUACUGAAGGAUUAUGAUUGUACCAUACAGUACCACCCGGGUAGGGCAAAUGUAGUUGCCGAUGCUUUGAGUAGAAAAUCAUCAGGGAGCUUAGCUCAUAUUCAGGAGGUACGAAGACCUCUGAUUAGGGAGCUGCAUGAGUUAGUGGAUGAAGGAGUCAGAUUUGAUCUUAGUGAAGCUGGAGCAAUGAUUGCUCAUUUUCAGGUUAAGUCAGAUUUGUUUGAUAAGAUAAAAGCAGCUCAGAAGAAAGAUGAUUCACUACUCAGGAUUAGAAAUGAGGUUGAGCAGGGUAAGGCUGCAAGUUUUGUGAUUGGUGAUGAUGAUGUGCUGAGAUAUAGGGAUAGGCUUUGUGUACCUGAUGUUGAUGAUCUGAGGAGAGAAUUGAUGAUAGAGGCACAUCAGACAGUUUACACAAUGCAUCCAGGUUCCACCAAGAUGUAUAAAGACCUUAAGGUGUGUUAUUGGUGGAAUAGGAUGAAGGCUGAUGUAGCAGAUUUUGUUUCUAGGUGUUUGACCUGUCAGAGGGUAAAGGGUGAACACCAGAAACCUCCUGGAUUGUUACAACCAUUGUUGAUUCCAGAAUGGAAGUGGGAAAGGAUCACAAUGGACUUUGUGACAGGAUUGCCUAGGAGUCAGGAGGGUUAUGAUUCGAUAUGGGUGAUUGUUGACAGGUUGACAAAAUCAGCCCAUUUUCUGCCAGUUAAGAUUACUUAUGGAUAUGCAAAGUUGGCGGAAUUGUUUAUUAGUGAGAUUGUACGGUUGCAUGGAGUGCCAAUCUCGAUAGUGUCUGAUAGAGGUCCACAGUUUACAUCGCGGUUUUGGGUGAAAUUUCAAGAAGCUAUGGGUACUAAGGUGCAGUUGAGUACAGCUUUUCACCCUCAGACAGAUGGUCAGUCUGAGAGGACUAUUCAGACCUUGGAGGAUAUGUUAAGGGCUUGUGUUAUGGAUUUUGGAGUUGGUUGGAGUAAGUUCCUACCAUUAGUGGAAUUUGCUUACAACAACAGUUAUCAGGCUAGCAUAGAGAUGGCACCUUAUGAGGCUUUGUAUGGUCGGAAGUGUAGAUCACCAGUUUGUUGGUUUGAGGUUGGUGAGAAGAGGCUAAUGGGACCGGAGUUGAUUCAGAUUACCUCAGAGAAGAUUGAGGUAAUUAGAAAGAAGCUUCAAACAGCUCAGAGUAGACAUAAAAGUUACGCAGAUAGAAGAAGGCGUGACUUAGAGUUUUCAGUGGGUGAUUGUGUGUUCUUAAAAGUAUCACCUACAAAAGGAGUAUUCAGGUUUGGGAAGAAAGGCAAGUUGAGUCCUCGAUUCAUUGGACCGUAUGAGAUUCUGGAGAGAGUUGGGGCAGUUGCUUAUCGGUUAGCAUUACCACCAAACUUGUCUGCUAUUCAUCCGGUAUUUCAUGUUUCCAUGUUAAGGAAAUAUAUGUCAGAUCCAUCGCAUGUGUUAGAGGUUCAUCCUAUUGACUUGAGGGAUGAUAUGGUUUAUGAGGUGCAACCGGAAGCUAUAGUCGACCGACAAGUGAGGAAGCUUAGGUCGAAGGACAUAGCUUCAGUGAAAGUGAAAUGGAAAGGCCAUUCACGUGAGGAAGCGACAUGGGAGCUCGAGGAUAAGAUGCGUGAGGAGUAUCCUCAUCUUUUCGAUAAUCUCGGUAAGUAUCAAUCUUUUCUAUUAAGUUUCGAGGACGAAACUUUUAUAAGGUGGGGAGAUUGUAAUGUUUUGAAAUUAAUAAGAUAGGAAUUACAACAAAGCCCUUGGAGGCUUAAAAGUUGGAAUAAAUGAAUAAGGGGUAUUAUGGUAAUUGAACAAAAAUUGAUAAAUAUAAAUAGGAAGUAAAAAAAAAAAAGUGAUCUGAAAUUAGAGAGAGAACCGUGAGAGAGAAAGAGAAAGAAGAAGAAGAGAAAAGAAGGGAAAAUAAGGGAAAAAAGGAGAGAUUUGGAGGAAAUAAGUGAAAAAGGUAAGAUUUAGGUUGUUUAAUGUGUAUAAUAUGUUAAUUAAGCUUUAAUUUCAGUUUUUAUGAAUGUUAGGGUUUUGAGAAUUUGUGUUUGAUUUAAAUUGAUGAAUUAAAUUGAAGGUUAGGGGUUGAUUGUUGUGUUUAAUUGAUGAUUUAGUUGAUUAUGGAAGAUUAUGAUGAUUUUGAGUUAUAGAAUUGUGUAAAUGGUGAAAUUGAGUUAGAAAUCAGGGGAGAACAGUGGGGUUUCUGUUAAAAUCUGGACUGGAGGUUGAAGAUGACGAAAAUUCAAUUUGGUCCCUCAAUUUCCGAAAAUUACAGUUUAGUCCCCGAACUUUGGAAAAUUACAAAUUGGUCCCUGGAGCAUAUUCCGAGAUUCUGAACAGAAUAACAUAUGAAUUAUGGACAUAAUUACUGUAUAGAUAAGAUAAUUUAACACUUUCAAUUUAGUCCUCCAAUUUGAAAAAAGUACGAUUUGACCCUAAAAAUUUAGUAAAAUUCCAGAAUGAUCCCUGAAGCAUAAUGAUACAUCCUGGACAGAAUUGAGGAUUAAUUAAGGUCAGAAUUUCAGUAUAUUCAUGGAUUUAUGACAAAUUUCAGUUUGGUCCUCCAUUUGAAAAAGUUACAAUUUGGCCCUAAAAAUAUGAAAAAUUCCAGAUUAGUCCCUAGCUGUAAUAUUAGCUUUUUCAGAUUAGUUUGAUGAAUAAUUAAGGGUUAUUUAGUGAAUUAUUACCAAUUUUAUUAGUUGUUUUUAUUAUGGAUUAGAUUUCGGGAAAACCGUUAGAUUUUGGGUUUUUAAGAAAAUUGACUAGUUAGUUCAAAAACAUAUAGGGUUACAGAAUACACCCUUAGUUAAGUGUAUUAAAUAGGUUAAAUGUUCUUUCGAGUCGUUUUUGAAUAUGUCUCCUUUGUAUUCAGAUAAUCCUGAUAUUCUAUCGGCAGGACGUCAGUAGAAUUUCUUUCGGUUUCAGCUUGUGUGUGCAGUUUGCUUUUGAGUCAAGUGAGUGGAUAAUUUUCCAUAUGCAUGACAAAUAUUAUAAAUAUUUGAUUUGUUAAUAUGAAUUGGAUCAUGCUUCUUGAUAAUAUAUAUAUUGAUUAUUAUCCAUGAUCAAUCAAAAAGGGAGCUCAUAGACUGGAAUAAGCGAUUUGAAAUCAUUGAAGGGAUAGCUCAAGGGCUACUUUACCUUCAUAAGUACUCGAGAUUGAGGAUAAUUCACCGAGAUUUGAAGGCUGGCAACAUACUACUGGAUGAAAAUAUGAACCCCAAAAUUUCUGAUUUUGGCAUGGCAAGAAUUUUCAAGAUCAAUGAUUUAGAAGGAAAUACAAACCAAAUUGUUGGGACGCUGAUGGGGACACCGAACCAGAAACACUAUUUACGCACGCGUAUGAUCAUAGACGAUGGAGGAUAGCCCAAACCAUUGAGAAAUUGGGCUUUAACUUAUGUUUUUGGGUUUAAUUUAUAUGGACUUUCAGUUGAGUUUUAUUAAUUUAGCUUUAUUUGUUGGGCUUGAUUUAAUUAAUGUUGGAUAUUUUAUUUAAUGGGCCAUAAGCCCAAUUGCUUAUUCAAGUUAGGGUUUUAGUAUAAAUACCCUACUUCUCUAAAUGUUAAGGGACUUUGAAUGAUUAAUGAAAAAAAUGCAGAUUUGCAUAUCUCCAACCCCUCUCCUCCUCUUCUUCUUAGCUUCUUUCUUUCCCUAAAGUUUUUUUCUUUUCUUGCUUUAAUUCUUUUUACGUAUUGUCCCACGUCAAAUUUGGUAUCAGAGCAAGGGUUUUAAUUGUUCUUACAAUUAAACGGUCCACAAUAUUGCUAAAUUGUAGAUCCGGUUUGAUAAAAAAAAAAAAAAAAAUUGGACGCCGAUACUGUUCAUCAGUAUUGUUUCAAUCUACUGUUCAUCAGUAUUGUUUCAAUCUACUGUUCAUCGGUAUUGUUUCAAUUUACUGUUCAUAUCUACGCAACAGCCAAAAAAAGUUACUACUCAUCGAUCGGCACUGUUACUGCUUAUCUUCUCCAGAUCUGCAUCAACGCCGAAGUCGAAAUUGUCACUGCAUCAACACCGAUCACACCAAGAUCCACGCAGCAACAGAUCUGCCAUCCAUGCACCAGCUCGCACCACCAGAUCGACACCGCAAGAGAGAGAACAGAUCUAGACUGUUCAUCUUCUCCAAGCAAACAGCAGCCGAAAGCAAUAGUGUACACUGUUCAUAAUAAAAAACGGCCACUGCGGAGUAGAUCCAUUAGUGACAACAGCCACAACCAGCCAUCUACCGCAUCUGAGCUGACCGACAGUAGAGCUACACCGUAGGAGACAGCAGAAGUCAGACAGAACAGUAACACAAACCAGCGGCAACCACCACCUUCAGUGCCCGCAAUAGUUAUUCAUCUUCACCAGCUACGCCUUCUCUCAACAGCCACCAAGAUCGACAACAGUUCUCACAGCAGCCAAAUCAAUUCACCUUCAGCAACCGCCUCUCACAGCAGCAGAUCAACUCAACCCAGAGACUCGCCAUGGCAGACCAGCAUCUUAAUCCUUUCACUUGUAUCGGGUUGCGGGAAUUAAUUUGUUGAUUGAUUUCCAAGAACAGGUUUGUACGAAGACGGCAACCAGAUGAAGGAAACAAGAAACCAAAGCAAACUAUGGCUGCAAGAUUAAUUAACCCUGCCACGUUAUCAGUUAUGCCACCGCUGCCACGUCAGAUGUCGCACACCAAAAAAAAAUUAAAUUUCAAUUGCGGGUUCGACUGGCGAAUUUUUUUAUUUUUGGUUUGAUUUGGUUCUUUGGAGUCGCCACCUAGUAUUUUGGUCACUAGGAACCCUAACUGGUCUCAGAGAUCGGGUACGGAGACUGGUUGCGUAAAGGGAAGGUAUUAGCACCCCAAAUACGCCUUACCUAAGGUAAGCUGCAUUGUUUUAUUGUCUAAUAAAAAAAAAACUAAGGUGUUAUUGUGUUUUCCUAGUUGUUGGUCUGUCUAUGGUUCAAGAAAAAUCCUCCUCGGUAAGGAGAUCUUUAUCUUAUCGGGUAAAAAUCCUAACCGUUCUAACGUCCAUACCAAAAUUUUAUUGAUAAUAUUUAGGAAUACGUUUUACGUAUAAAUUCGUAAUCCCAAAUACUAAAAGAAAAUAAAAAGAUUUUUUAGAAUUUUUGAAAUAUUGGCCUAGUUCUCAUGGCUUGAAUAAACUGGUUAUUAAAACCAAAAUGCAUGCUAAUACAUAUAUUGUUUUGAAAAUUUUCUUUGUUAUGUGAAAAUAUGAUGUUAUAAUAUUUAUAUAUAUAUAUUGGAGAGACUAGGCCGUAUUUUAAAACAAAAACAAUUUUUGGAAAAUAUUUUUUUUUUUAUGUUUUAACGAAAAUCGGGUAUUUUAAUACUGAGCUUGUAUCCUUAUGGUAUAAAAAUACAACCCAAUAUUAAUCCGCUUUGAUAAAAAAUAUGCAGAAAAAUCAACAACAUUCUGAAAAUCUUUGAUAUUUUGACGAAAACCGGGUAUUUAUAACACUGGUUUUGUAUCUUUACGGUAUAAAAAUACAAACCAACAUUAAACCACUUUGACAAAAAUAUGCAGAAAAAUUAACAAUAUUUUUUAAAGAUUUUUCAAAAUAUUUUUUUUUAUUAUUAUAUUAUAUAUAUAUAUACAUAUAUACACACAUAUAUUAUAACAUAUAUAAUAUAUAUAAUAUAAAAAAAAUUCGGGCUGGGCCGGCCCAAAUAAACGGGCCGGACUCCGCCCAACAAGGAAAGGUUGGGCCGAACUCGGCCCAACCGAAAAGUCUUCUUCAAUCUGGGCCAGAACCGGCCCAGACGUUCAUGGGCUGGGCCAGCAUCGGGCUGGCCCAGCGUUAACAGCCCAGCGGGGAAAGGUUGGGCCGAACUCGGCCCAACCGAAAAUUCUUCUUCAGUUUGGACCAGAACCGGCCCAGACGUUCAUGGGCUGGGCCAGCAUCGGGCUGGCCCAGCGUUAACAGCCCAGCGGGGAAAGGUUGGGCCGAACUCGGCCCAACCGAAAAUUCUUCUUCAGUCUGGACCAGAACCGGCCCAGACGUUCAUGGGCUGGGCCAGCAUCGGGCUGGCCCAACGUUAACAACCCAGCGAGGGGGGGGGAGAAUUAUUUUUCUCCCCCCCGCCUCCUGCAUGCAACAUGCAGGAGGCAAGGCUGCCACGAAAGGAAUGCAGGGAAGAAGGAACGGGUACCUGGCGUGGAGGCGGUCGCUGGUGGAGCUGCGGUGGCGUGGCUCGCGUACGGCGGCUCCGGGCGGUGCUGUGGUGGUUCGAACGGCGGCGGAGAGAAAAGAUUUUCUUCCUCUUCCCCUCUUCUUCGUUUUCGGUUUUUCUUUCUUUUCCUUCCUUUCUCUUUAGUUUCUGUUUUCUUUUUGUUUUCGGUUCAUUCCUUUCUCUUUCCCUCUCCCUUGUUGGUUCUCUCUCUCUUCGGUCUUCUCUCUCUCUUCGGUCUCCUCUCUCUCUCCUCCCUUCGGUUUUUUUUUCUUUCUGUUUUCGGUUUGUUUUUUUUUUCUUGCUUUCGGUCUGUUUCUCUCCUCUCCUCUCCUUCGUGCGUUAUUUCUCUUCUUCCUCUAUCCUCGGGUCUCUCUCUCUCUCUCUCGGCCUCUCUCUAUUUAUAAGCAAAAAAGGAAACGACGUGCCUUUUGUUAGUGCACCUUCAAUCACGCAACGGCUGGUCGGCCAUUGAUGCUUUCGGUGGUGGUGGUGGGGGCGAGGAGAGAGACGCGGGAAAAUUUUCAAAAUUUUCGUCUCUGUUGCUGCUAAACCGGGGGAAGGAAGAAGAUGAACAGUGUCGUUCAAAACGACACCGUUCUGCUUUUUUUUUUUUUUUUUUUUUUAUAUAUGAAACGGCGUCAUUUUGGAUAAAACGCGUCGUUUCAUUUAAAUGGCCAAACUUCAAAUCAGUCCUCCAAAUUCGGUCCCCGCCCCUCUUGUUGGCCGCCUUUUUCACUUUGGUCCUUGGCCUCUGAUUUAUGCAAUUGAGCCCCUAAUUGAUCAAUAAACUUCCAAUUUCUUCAAUUAAGCCCCUGAAACAAUUCCAAACAACCCCCUCUAUCUUUGCGCCUUCUCCAAAUUGGUCCCUGGUUUCGGAUUUUCACAAUUAAGUCCCUAAUUGGCCAUUAAACUUCAAUAUUUAUGCAAUUAAACCCCUGAUUUGACCCAAUAAAUUCCUAAAAAAUAUAUUUUGGCCCCAGAACUUAAAUUUCUCCAAAUUAAAGCCCAAAUUGACUUAAAAAUCAAUUUUUCUUGCAAUCAAAUCUUCUAUAAAUUCAAAUAAAAAUCCAAUUAAGUCCAUAAAAAUCCAAUUAAGUCCAUAAACAUCCAAAUUUGGGCUUUUCUCCUCAAAAUUCAUAUUUUCCUUCUCAAUAGGGCUUUCAUCCUUCAAGAAUAUACUGUCAAAAAUUCAAUCCUUGUAUUUUUAAAUUCCUUGACCAAUUUUCUAACUGUUUUCCGAGCGCUUCUGCCUCCUGUUAUUUUCCUAACCUCUUUUGGCUAUUUAUUUUAUUUUUCAGGGGGACCCAAAAAUGGGUUACAAUAUCGACAUGGUCACCACGUAAGCAAACUGACCACAUCAUCUUCUGUGUCAACAGUCAAUUCAUCCAGUUUGCCACGUCAGCUCCAACAAAUUUCAACUUCCUCCCAGCACUCUAGUCAGUGAAUCACUCUCCCAUAUUUGUUGAAGUUUACUUUUAUUGGAUUUUCACUUGUCAUUCAAGGUUAUUAUUAAUAUUACUUUUGUGCCUAAAAAAAUUCCCAAAAAAAAAAAAAAAAGAUACCAAAAAAAUCCUCAUCAGCAUUUUUAAUUGUUAAUUUUUGUUCAUCAACCUCUUUCAUCAGUGAUUGCUAAUAUCUUAUUCUAUUUGAUAAUUAUGAAUUCUUGCUUAUGACAUCGUGUUUGAUUAAUCAUUUACACUUAAGAAUUUAGUAUUAGAUGCUUACAAUUUUAUUAGUGUAAUUUGUUCUUGAUUAAUCUCCACAUGUAAGAAAAAAAAAAGGAUAAAAAAAAAUAAAAUUAAAUUAGCUUUAUUUUUUGUAUUUUGACUUUGCUUGCAAGAACCACUCGUGAUCUCAAUUUCAUUUCUAAGUUAGUGUUGCAUGCAUUUAUGUCAUGAUCAUCUAGUGUCUAAACUUAAGUUUACACUUACUGUAGACUCAACCUUUAGUGAUACUCUUAUGAUCAUUUCAAGGGAACUGCAAACUUAGGUGAUCAACAUGUUUAGAAGAAUUAAGCCCCAAGAGAGUUUUCGAAUAAGGCACUCAAAUACCAAUAAAUAUCACAAGAAUAAUCAUUAUGGACAAGAUCACUGUGAGCGACACCAAUAUGACCAUCAUUUAGGUUACUCUAAACAUGAUGACUUUGAUGAGCGAGUCUUGAGUCCUAACAAAAUAGAAGCCCCCACUUUUGACGGUCGUCAUGACCCUUGGAUAUUUGAUAUGUGGAUUCGUGAUAUGGAUCAAUUCUUUGAGUGGCAUAAUUUGUCUGAUAAUAAGAGAGUUAGAUUUGCUGAGAUGAAAUUCAUUGAUAAAGCCAAACUUUAUUGGAGAGACGUUAAGGAUUGCUUAGAGAUGAGAGGUAAACCUCCUAUAACUGACUGGAUCAAAAUGAAACAAAAACUUCAAGAGAAAUACGUACCCCAGUCUUAUAGGAAUAAACUCUUAGACCAAUGGAACAAUCUAAAACAAGGGAAUAAGUCUAUCAAUGAGUACAUAAGGCAGUUUAACGAUUACAUGAUUAGAUGUGCCAUAAGAGAGAGUGAAGCCAUGACUUUGCGUAGAUUUUGUAGAGGCUUAAAUGAUGAUCUUAAAAGAGAAGUUGUAUUUCAAGGUGUAUCUACCCUUGACCAAGCUUAUACCUUAACUAAAGACUACAAGUUGGUCACAAAGGAUCAGUGGAAAAAUCGUCAGGACUUUUAUAGUAUCCCUAUUAGGUCCCAAUUCAGAGGUAGUGAUUCUUUGUUAGUUGCUCUACCCCAUAGACCUAAUCCUAGUAACUCACAACCUUACAAGAAAGAUAAAGGCAAACGAGUUGUUAAUGAGGUGUCUAAAGUGAGUUCUAUGGUUAAGUGUACUAAUUGUCUAGGUUUUGGUCAUAUCUCUUUAGAUUGUACCUCUAAACCUUUAGUCAUCCAAAAAUAUAAGGAUCUAGGUAAAGAGGAAUAUUGUAGUGUUGAAGUGUAUGAGCCUAAUCUUGAGGAUUUUAGUGACCUUGAUGACGAGGAUGUGCAAGAAGAGGGACUUAACACAAUGAGUCCACAUGAGCUUGAGACUAAGGUUAAGAAAGAGUCUGAUAUGUCUGCUUUAAUGGUGGAGGAAAUUUUAGGAAACUCUUUAGUGGAACCGCCUAUAGAGAUAAGUAUGGUCUUAGAAGAGUCUCAUGAUAUUAGUUCUCCUGAAUUAUCUGAUUCCUCGCCCCAUAUGCUUGGUGUCCAGCACAUCAUAAGUUUAGAGCAACAUGUUGAGCUUUUUGACCCCUUACCACAUGCACGUGAUGAGGAAGAUGAAGAUAAUCCUAGUUUACUUGAUUGUGUCCAUACCAUAUCUACAGAGGUUUCAAAUAAUGUUUGUCUCAUUCCACACCCUCAAUCAUUUAGUGUUCAUAGUUACAAACCUGAGAAGCCUAUAGAACACCUUCUCAUAUCUCCUCAUGAUAGGAUGUCUAAGUCAGCUGAGUCAUUACCAUGUAGGGUUCAUAAUUUGCAUAUUGAGAUCAUGAAACAAAUUCAAGCAAGUAAUGAACAAUACAAAUUUCGAGCUGAUUUACUUAAAUAUCAUAAUGCACUUAAUGUUGGAGAUUAUUUCAUGAUACAGAUUAGACCUGAACGGUGUCCUUUGGAAACCGAUCAUAAAUUGCAAGUAAGUAGUGCUAGACCAUUCAAAGUGUUGCAAAUGAUUACAUCAAAUAAUUAUGUCAUUAAAUUGACAUUAAACUUUGAUAUUAACUCUACUUUGAACAUGAAAGACCUCAGUAUUUAUAAAAUACAGCCUACCCCUGAUGCUCCUUUUGAUACCCCUACCUCAAUAUCCAUAUCUUUGGCACAAAAGGAACAUAUUAAUGCUACUUUGAAUGCACAAGUUGUUUUUACCAGGGACGGUGAACUUCAGCAAAUCCCAAUAUAUGGACUCGACAACCAGAUUCAUACUAUACUUGGAUUAUCAGAGAGACAUCACAACAAUUUGAUCCUUAUCUUUGAGAGCAUUAUCGGAGCUGCCUUAACCUAUACUCGACGAGGUCGAGUUCUUCCAACCCCGGGAGAAUUGAUGGGGACACCGAACCAGAAACACUAUUUACGCACGCGUAUGAUCAUAGACGAUGGAGGAUAGCCCAAACCAUUGAGAAAUUGGGCUUUAACUUAUGUUUUUGGGUUUAAUUUAUAUGGACUUUCAGUUGAGUUUUAUUAAUUUAGCUUUAUUUGUUGGGCUUGAUUUAAUUAAUGUUGGAUAUUUUAUUUAAUGGGCCAUAAGCCCAAUUGCUUAUUCAAGUUAGGGUUUUAGUAUAAAUACCCUACUUCUCUAAAUGUUAAGGGACUUUGAAUGAUUAAUGAAAAAAAUGCAGAUUUGCAUAUCUCCAACCCCUCUCCUCCUCUUCUUCUUAGCUUCUUUCUUUCCCUAAAGUUUUUUUCUUUUCUUGCUUUAAUUCUUUUUACGUAUUGUCCCACGUCAGACGCGGUAAGUAUAGAUUUACAGUUCCAUGUGUCAUUACUCUCUAAAGUGCUUAAAAAUAACAUAACAUUCAGUUUUUCCAUCUAGUGGAUAUAUGUCCCCUGAGUAUGUCAUGGAGGGCAUUUUCUCUGUGAAAUCCGAUGUCUUCAGUUUUGGAGUUCUACUGCUGGAAAUUGUGAGUGGUAGAAGAAUCCAUGGCCUCCUUGAAAUAGGGCCCUCUCAAUCUUGUGGGAUAUGUAAGUUCAUUUCAAGCAACCUCAUAAAUGAUAACAUUUCUAGCUGCAUAAGCUUAAUUUUAACAUUAAACGUAAACAUGAUUCAGACAUGGGAGCUAUGGAAAGCAGGUAACCCAUUUGAGCUGGUGGAUCCAAUAGUAAGAGAAUCUUGCUCUAAAGACCAAGUCUUGAGAUGCAUUCAUGUGGGCUUGCUAUGUGUAGAAGACAAUGCAGUGGAUAGGCCGAUCAUGUCAGAUAUUAUAUCGCUGCUAACAAGCGAAGCACAGUUACCACUUCCCAAACAGCCUGCAUUUUCCAGUGCAAGAAGUAUUGUGGAAGAAAAUCCAGCAGAGAAUGGUUCCAUAAAUGAUGUUUCUAUGUCAACCAUGUAUGCGAGAUAGAGGUUAGAUGGUUUCUUUGUCCUCAAAUAUUGUUUGUCAUAUGUCUUUAUGGAGCAAAACUUAUAUUUCUCCAUCAGUAUUUUGCUUUUUCAAUGAUUAGUCUUUUUUGAUGCUCUCAAAAUUUAAGUUUCAUUCGGAAUAUGCUUAGAAAUUCUUAAC